GUGUAGUGUUAAAAAAGGUUCUUAUAUGAUGGGACAGAGGGAAUACAUAAAUAGCUGACAUUUUUGCAUACAUGGCAUCCAUACAGAAGUAGCCGGGACAUCUCACAUGACACAAUUUAAAUUAGUUUCACAAGACACGACUUCAGGGUCCAAGAUAAUCUCGCAUAACAACCAGCUCAUGACACUACAGAUAGCUGAAUAAGUUAAUAGACCACAUGAAAGACUGAUAAAUUUCUUACAACAAGUUGGGCCUGGCUUCAAUAAUUGUCAGAAUAGAAACUGAGCUGAGCUCCGCUUCCUCUCCCCACCGUCUGCGCCGCGGGCCACUCCGGCCGCGGCAGCCACCCACCCACCCCGCCUUCACUCCGGCUUCGGCUGCCGGCCUAGGGGCUAUGCCAGCCCGCUCCCCCAUGAGUGCCCCGUCCUCACCCGCCGCGAGCCUUGGGUGGAGUACGCUCGAAAAGGUGGAGAUCCAGGGCGAGUCCAGCGGUCCGUCAGAGGUACCGGCAACUCCUCUGUCCCCGUCGACGCGGGAUCCCCGAGCCCAAGCUGCCACCCACACGGAUCUGGGGCGGAGGUCGAGGUGGCGCGCUUCGGACCGGCGGAUGGCGGCACGGCACCACCAAAUGAGCGCCCCCACCUCAAAUCCAUCGUGGUAAGUGAUAGCCCCCUCCCAUCUCCGGCCACCGACGCCAUUGAAGAAGGAUGGGAAAUCCAGAAAUCCCGCAAGAACCGCUGCACCAGCCAGGAUCCAUUUAGUGCUAGGGAGAAAUCGAGGCGUCGGCCUUCUUGCCAAGGUCACAGCCAUGGGCCACUCGGCGGGCAGAGAGGCCUUUUAAGCAGAUUCAAGGGCCUCUGCUUCCACUGCCUUAGCCCUCGCCACCGCCACGUAGACUGUAAGGAUCCACUGCGCUGCAUCAUCUGCAAAUGUCAGGGCCAUUUCGGCCGAGAGUGCGCCGACAACCCACGCAACAAGGGGCGGGGCUCGGUCGCUAUUCUACCGCGCUCCCCGCGCCGGCCGAUCUGCAAGCGCCUGACCUUUCCUCCUCCGCCUACCUCACCUCAUCAACCGAUGGAGUCGGGUGCCCUCAUCAACCACACCCGCCACCCCCGCAACAGCCACAAGGUCAUCGCCUCCACGCCGGCGAUGGAGCACCAGGUCUUCCUGCUGAACCAACACGCGGUCGUGGUCACCGUGGUGGGCACCAAGGCGCACGCGGCGAGCCCGCUCUCCAUUGGCCGCGCGCUUGAGCGCGAGCUCAAGAUCCCUCCGUACCUGCUUUGCGUCACCAACCACGACCCUGAUGACUUCUUCGUCUACUUCAUCCUGCCGGUGCACAAGGACCUGGCGGUGCGGCGCGGUUUGCUGUCGGUGGACGGCGUGCCAUUACUGCUCGAGCCAUGGAGGGAGGACGCCCACGCUGUCCGGCUCAAGUGGAUGCUGCACGUGCACAUGGUCAUCGAGAAGCUUCUCAUGCAGCUUUGGACGAUGUAGGGCGCGGAGGAGGCCAUCGGUGACAAGGUCAUCGUCGACCGCCUCGACAGCCGGACCCACGAGCGCGUCGACACCAAGCUUUUCGCUUGCUAGGUCUGGUGCUGGGACACUGCCCACAUCCCCACAAAGCGUACGAUCUGGAAGCAUGCCCGGGGCGUUGGCCACGUCGAUGAGAUGGUGGGCUACUCUCCUCCGAGCCGCGUCGUGGCACCACCGCCGGAGCUGCUGCAAUACGACUUGCUCCUUCAUCUAGAUCGCGUGGAGGACUGGACUCCGCUCUCGCCGCAUUCAUCCCAUUCGCCGCAGAGCGGCAUCCCCUCCGACAACGACGAGCCCGACGAGCGCCCCUACCCACGGAUCGAGCCAGGUGUCUGGGCCGAGCGGGUGGAGGAUGGUAGGCCGGCGCUUGCCCCGGUGCUAUCCAUGCGCCCCGAACCCCGGGUGGCAUCCACGGGUUGCCGGGGCAUGCCGGCCACUGAUGGUCGGUGCGACGACGGCAGCGGAGACCCUGGGUACUAGAGGAGGAGCUGGAAGGACACACUGCUCGGCAGGGGGCGUGCCAGCGACAGAGGCGGGGCCCCAGCCCCGGCGCCACCUGCGGAGCAGCGGUGCAGCCGCACCCCAGCCUCGCGCAACCGCCAGGGUGCACCGCGGGGCCGACACCUUUGCAUCGACAAGUAGGCCGCGAUCAAGCCGGCCAAGAGGAAGGACGUGAUGGCUGGGCCCUCCCGCCAGCCAAAUGGGGGGGGGCAAGAGCCAGGCCCGACGCAAGUCCGACGGCUCAACGGUGGCUGAGUCGUCGGGCGGCCCCUCUCUGCUCGCCCCACCGCGCAGGCUCACUCAGGAGCAAGGGCAUGGUGCAGGCCAUGCUGGGGGGCAGGGCGCGACAGAGGACCCGGUGGAGGAGUUCUUCCAGGGAUCAAAAAACAACCUCCUCCCACAACCCCGGGCACGCCCUGACGCCAUGGCCAUGAAGAUCGAUGAGGUGAUCGCCGCCAAGCUCGACAAGCCGCUGCGCUUCGAUGAUGAAAAAGAUGGUGGCAGUGACGGAUCGCUGGACAUGGGGCCUGCCCUGUCCCUGGCCCGUCACACCGUGUUCGUUGUGAGCACGCAUGAAGUGCAGCUGGGCGAGGUCACGCAGAGGGUUACUGAGAUGCAGCUCCAAGGGGGAGGAGUCGAGGGCGAGCAGCAGCUGCCCCUCUUCUCCAAGCCGGCGCCAGCGAUCAUCGGAAAGCCACCGGCAAGAGACAGGACGCCCCUCAAGGCUAGGCCGCAGGCCAAGCCGGUCAAGCAGAGCACACGCCAAGCUGCCAACCCCUCCCUGGUGCCGGUCUCUUAGAGGGCGACGCUCCGGCUGGUGCAGGGCCUCGGCGUCCUCGGGCCAAAGGAGAAGAUGAUGGCGCAGGCUGCAGAAGCCCUCAUCCGCCGUUUUGACGAUCCCCUAUCUGACGACGACAUCACUGCCAUCGCGAAGCUCACCAGCCUCGACGCCAACGCGCUCAAGGCGAUCGCCGGCAUGCCUAGCCAGCAUGGAAGCGCCGCGCUGCCCCGUUCCCCAUGUUAGAAAACCUUAGUGUAGUUGUCGGCCGACGAUGACCAACAGUGUGCUGGGUAGAGUUAGGUUUGUUGUCAAGCAUGAAGUGUUGUAGCAGUAGCCAGGCUAGGAGGCUUGCUGUUCGCCGGCGGGGUUUUGGGCCUAUUGGUGGCCGCUGGCGACCCCUGGAUGCAAGGAUGGUGUCAUUGUGUUCUAAUUUAUCAGUAGAUGUUAGUUGUCGGCAUCUCAUCGUGCAUCGCCCAGUUUUCAUCCAUUAUAGCUCGAGCGCUGCCAGGUUUCCCCAUGGAUGACACGAACAUGCCGAUCAUGAGCUGGAACGUGAGAGGUCUCAACACACCGGCGGGACGCUCGGUCAUCAGAGACACUGCACACGCCCACAAGCUGGCAAUCCUCUGCAUCCAGGAAACCAAAAUUGACUGCUGGUCCACUAGCUUAGCAAGAGAAAUAGGUGGCACAUGGCUUGACCAAUGCAUUGUUCUUCCAGCCAUUGGAACGAGGGGAGGGGCGGCCAUUUUUUGGAACUCUAGCAUGCUGUCUGUGCAGUCUCACUCGAUAGGGCAGUUCUCUAUCACAGCUAGGGUGCAAACAGGCGAGUUAGGCAAAGAUUUUUGGUUAACUACGGUCUACGGGCCUUCGGAUAAGGAUAGAAAAGAUGAUUUUCUCGAGGAAUUGACUAGAGUUGCUCCCCCACCUGGACAAGCUUGGCUCAUCAACGGCGAUUUCAACAUUAUAUACGAGGCUAGAGACAAGAAUAACAUCAACAUCAACCGUAGGAUCAUGGGUAAAUUUAGAGCGGCAAUCGACGCGGGUGGCCUCCGUGAGAUCAAAUGCAAAAACCGUCGCUUCACCUGGAGCAAUGAGUGUAGGAACCCUACAUUAGUUAGUAUCGAUAAGUUUUUCUGCAACAUUGCUUGGGAGGGGUUUUUCCCAUCCUUUCUCCUGCAUGCGGCAUCAACAUCAUGCUCGGACCACUGCCCCUUGCUUCUCGCAGCUGCUGCAGCGCCACACCGCCCGGCAACAUUCAAGUUUGAAUUGUUCUGGCCCCGGUUCCCGCGCUUCCAGGAGAUGGUCCAACAUACCUGGAACCGCCCAACCUCAUCGCACUGCGCUUUUGCAAGGCUAAGAGAGAAAAUGAGUAGGGUUGCUAAGGAUCUAAAGAUUUGGAGCAAAUCUCAGUUUGGGGGGGGGGCAAAGAUCCAGAUGCACAUUGCAAAUGAAGUGAUCCUACGCCUCGAUGUAGCGCAAGAAACUAGAGCACUGUACGAUGCAGAGUUUCAUCUUAGAAAAAUGCUCAAGCUCAAGAUCUUAGGACUGGCGGCCAUUGAUCGUGCAAGGAAACGCCAAGCCUCCAGAAUUACGUGGCUGCGAGCUGGGGUCACGCCAACUGCUUUCUUCCAAGCAAAGAUCAAUGCUAGGAGACGGAAAGGUUUUAUACACUCACUGCAUGGACCGUCUGGUGUGGCUAUUAAGCAGGAGGAGAAAGAAAACUUGAUCUACGAUCAUUUCUCCUCCAUACCGGGCACGGCAGCACACCGCAACACCACCAUUGGCUGGCGCUCUCUCGCCAUGCCCAGGGUGCAAGGAGGGCUUGACAACCCUUUCAUAGAGGAGGAGGUAUGGCAUGCAAUCAAGGCUUCUUCGGCGGAUCGUGCGCCUGGCCCGGAUGGUUUCUCUAGCCUCUUCUUCAGAUCAUGCUGGGCAACAAUCAAAGAGGAUAUCAUGGCAGCGUUCAAUCAGUUCUACAAUUUAGUAGGUAGCAAUUUUGGAGCCCUAAACACUGCGGUGGUGGCAUUAUUGCCCAAAAAGGACGGAGCACUGACUAUCAACGACUACCGGCUAAUCAGUCUCAUCCACUCCAUAGCAAAGUUGAUAUCCAAAGUGCUGUCCCUUAGGCUUGCCAACGUGAUCCACACGCUCAUCUCACCAGCACAGUCAGCAUUUCUUCGGACAAAAUGCAUCCACGAUAGCUUCCUAUACGUUCAAAGCUGCAUCAAGGCCCUACAUAGACGAAAAACACCGGCUCUGCUUCUUAAGUUAGACAUAGCCAAGGCCUUCGACAAUGUAUCUUGGGAGUACAUCCUUGAGAUGCUGCAACAAUGGGGUUUUAGUGCGCGAUGGAGAGAUUGGAUAUCUUUGCUGUUGUCCUCAUCCUCAUCGUCCUUCCUCCUCAACGGUGUACCAAGAAAAAGGAUCCGACACCGGAGAGGCCUUCGACAGGGCGACCCCUUGUCACCUUUCAUCUUCAUCCUAGCGAUAGACACACUGCACCACCUACUUCAGGCCGCCGCUGAGCAACACAUCAUUGCACCACUUCUAGGGCGGGAGCUAAAACUUAGGAUUAGCCUAUAUGCCGAUGACGCCAUCAUCUUCGCAAAUCCGGUGAGGGAAGAAAUCGAUGCACUCAUGAAAAAUAUGCACGAUUUUGGAGAAGCCUCCGGACUACACAUCAACCCUUCAAAGUCGACGGCUUUACCCAUCAGAUGUGAGAAUAUAGACCUAGGGUUUGUGUUGCAAAAUUUCAAAGGGGCAGAGGGGCAAUUCUCGACCACCUAUUUAGGCCUGCCGCUGACACUAGCUAGACUACGACUAGCAAACAUACAAUUCAUCAUAGACAGGAUCAAGGCUCGACUUGCAGGAUGGAAAGGAAAACUCCUGCCAAUAGCCAGUAGGCGAGUAUUGGUUCGAUGUGUCCUCGGUGCUAUGCCCACUUUUGCCCUAACUAUUCUCAAAGUGCCAAAGAAGCUACUCAAGGAGAUCGACAGAUGCAGGCGUAGAUUUCUUUGGAAGCAAGAUGAGGCGAUCACAGGUGGUAGCUGCAAGGUUAACUGGUCGGUGGUGUGCACUCCUACAUCUCAUGGAGGACUAGGGAUCAUCGAUCUCGAACGUUUCAGCUGUGCCCUUAGAUUACGAUGGCUAUGGAUAGCCUGGUCUGACCCUGGGCGGCCUUGGGUUGACAUGGAACCACCAUGCAGCAACAGCGACAAGGCACUCUUCGCAGCAGCGACCACGAUCACCAUCGGCGAUGGCGCGAAGGCACUCUUCUGGCACUCCACUUGGUGUGGGUCGUGCACCCUGGCCAGCUCGUUCCCUCUCCUCUACUCGCACUCCAAGCGUAAAAACAGGACGGUGCGCGAGGCUCUCACACAUGAUACUUGGAUAAAAGACCUGCGGCACGGAAACCUACAACCUCUGCUGCCAGAUUUUGUCAGGCUGCAUAGAAAGAUCGCCCUGACCGUGCUAACAGAGGGAAGUAGUGACCAGAUUAGGUGGAAUCUAGAGGCCAGGGGAAAAUACACCGCAAGCUCAGCUUACGCUAUGCAAUUCCAGGGCAGAGUACUAGCGGAAUGGCAGAAUUUGAUCUGGGAGGCAAAGGUUCCUGGAUGCAUUAAGAUCUUCGCCUGGCUCCUACUACAAAACCGGCUAUGGACAUGCGACAGGCUACAAAGGCGUGGCUGGCUGAACUACUAUUUUUACCCGCUGUGCAUCCGCAACCUGGAGACAACUCACCACCUCUUCUGGAGCUGCCCAGUAGCCCGGGAGGUGUGGGAGAAGGUAGCUGCAAGACAGGGGUGUCAGCAGUUACACCCACGGCAACAGGUGCAAGAGGGAAGCACUAUCGCCAUACUCCAACGGAUGGUGGCAAACACCCGACCAACACAACAAAAGGCCAGCAAUGCCACCAUGCUGUUAACAUGCUGGGAAAUUUAGCAAGAGAGGAAUAGGUGUGUGUUCAAGGGAAAGAUAGCUUCAGCGCAAGACAUCAUCAAGGCCAUCGAGCAUGCCAUCGAGCUUUGGCGCCAAGCGGGAGCAAUUCAUCUAGAGAGCCCCUUUUGGGAUCCACCAUGAAAUUUAGAACAAUAGUUAUUUUCGGGGUUUAAGGUGUUGUAACAAAACUGGUCCUAGGACCUGCACCUCACCCUUUGUAUUUUUCUCCAUUUCUUUCUGCUUAUCAAUGAAAUGCCAGUAUGACGCUAGAUCUUUCAAAAAAAACCUAGGAAAGACUGCAUAUUCUUCUUCCAGCCAGCAAGAACAUAUGACACCUUUGGUUUCUAGAGCAAGGAAGGAAGGAUAUCUUUGAAUGGAGUAGACCAAGACUGCAUAUUCUUCUUCCAGCCAGCAAGAACAUAUGACACCUUUGGUUUCUAGAGCAAGGAAGGAAGGAUAUUUCUGAAUGGAGUAGACCAAGCCACUUCAAUGUUAACCCUGGAGUACAAGCUUGGACCAAAUAAGUAGAGACCAAGCCACUUUAAUCUUGACCCUGCAGCUAGCACCAAUGUCACAUUCUUUCUCUGUUACGCCGCCGUCUUUUUUGGGUUCGAACACGACAUCACCUGUUGCAACGAGUACUUUCAAGCUACCACCACAUGCAGAGUAGGCAUGUACUAAAACUUGGAAGUUUUGGUUCACAUCUACAGAAACAACACGCCUUGACAGAUGAAUGUUUCCAUCUUGAUCCACCGGCGGAUUAUCUCCAUCUGGAAAAUCAAGCAACACAAAUUCUUCAAGGGAAGAGGCACCUUGGAUAAAAACUUUCCCUGCAAAUUGACUAGGCCAUGACCCAUGAAUAAUUUGCACACUUAGGAUAGUGGCCUCGACCGUUUCCGCAAACUGCUUACAAUGAAAUCUUAUAGUGCAAAGGUUGUUGUCCAAGAUUGUACCAAAAGGACCAGGGCUCCGUCGGCAUCGGAGGACUUGGUUGAUCAAUUCUUUUCCAUCUCCAGACUCUCUCUUGAACUUAAGAUCAACUUCAAAGUCAACAGGUUCAAGGGACAAAAUUGCACGAGAGGGGCCAGUCAAUGUCAAGUAGGGCUCCUGCAAUUGGCAAUCAUGGGAUAAGUAACAAUUUAUAUGGCAAAGCCAAUAAACCCACCACAAGCAGGGAAGAGGAAUGUAUACAUCUGCAGUAAUGAUUUGGUAGUUAUCGCUUGUGCUAUUGAAGAGAAAGUUGCGAUUAUAAUCCACAUGGUCUCGGGCAGCAACCAUGCCAUAGACACGAAGUGGCCACCCGAGUUUUGGCUUCUUGACUUGGAUGGAGUAGACUUGCAAGGUGCAGGAGACCAAAGCAUGUGGGAUGGUUUUGUAUGUGGUCAGCAUGUUCUUGGUCGUCGCUACAUACACAAAGCGUGUGUUACAACAUAAUGUCUCUCAACAAGAAACAUAAUAAUACACAGAAACCGAAAAUUUUCUCCGAUUCCGAUUUCGAUGACUGCGAAGAGGAAGAGAAUUAUGCUGGCUGUAGGUAAUUAUGCGAAUUAUAACUCAGAUAAGUGCGUACAUUGUUUACGUACUCUCAUAUUCGAAGUUACCGAACUUGCCAUAGGACAUGCACUCCCAGCCUAUAUGGUACUCUUGCAUAAUCUCCUCAUCCAUCAUGUAAUCGGGCAGGGACACCUCCUCAUCCAGAUCCAUUGAGUUGUCAUCCUCAUUCUCCGAGAUGUGCUCCGGCGUCGAUGAAUCGUCGUCGAUCCUAGAAGAGGAUGUGGCCUCCUUACGGCGACGCUUCGCGGAUUCUCCACCGCUCCCCCCUUCCGCUUCUCUUAUCACCUCCAUCUCCAAAAGCAGAGUUCUCCCUCUUCUUCUUUCUUCGACGCCGCCCCCGCCGCCGCAGUUGCAAGAUCUAGGGUUUUUUCUUGCAGAAAUGUCUUAGGGAUCCCAGUCACAGCCGUGCGGAAGGCUCCUAAUUUUUUUAGACAAAGCUCCUUAUAUUAUAUGGGUGACGAUGCUCCCACCCAUCCGGCCCAAUAAGACAUACGUUCGUCCAGGAUCCCAAAUACUAACGGUGUGCUCAGGGCCUGUCUAGGCCACCCAGUAAGAUGCUCAUUCGUGCAGGGAAAAACUGUCGUUGUUCGCUCUGCCAAAAAAGAUAAAUGCAUUUCCCUAAAAAAUGAUAAAUGCAUAGGAAAUGCGGCUGCCUUGAAAGAUUAGAAAAAAACUACUCAUGUAAAUUUAAAACAUGUUCAUGGAAUUUUAAAUAUUCCUGAAAAUUUAAAACAUGUUCAAAAAAAUUUAUAAUAUUCACGAAUUUAAUAUAUGUUCAUGUUCCUUAAAGAUGUUCAAGGAUUAAAAAAUAAUAUAAAUUCUUAAUUUUAACAUGUCCACGGAAAAUGUUCCCAAAUUUUAACGAAAAUUAUAGUAUUCAUGUAUUGCAGAAAUGUUUACAUAUUUGAAAAAUGUUUACCAAUUUAUCAAAUAUCCAUGAAUUUAAAAAAUGUUCAUAUGUUUUACUAAUGAUUGCUCGUUUAGAAAUUUCUCUUGUGUUUUCAAUAAAUUUUCACAAAUGUAUAAACUAUUCAUGAUAUUUUAAAUUUUCAUGAAUAUUCCUAAAAAAUAAAUGUCUCGUGAAUUUUAACAAUGUCGAUGGUUUUUUUAAGAACACACGUUUUAAAAAUGUUCACAACUAUAUAAAAACACAUUCCAUCUAUUUAAAACUGUUCAAAAAAUCUUUUAAAAUAUGAUUGUAAAUUUAAGAAUAUUUAUGAAUUAUGGGAGUGCUCUCUAUAGUUUUUGUUGAAUUUUAGGGUUUCCUAUUUAUUUAAUAUUUAUUGUCAUUUUGCUAUUUUUUCUUCUUCUUUUUGUAUAGGUUUUCUUUUAUCUUCUUUUUAAAUCAUGAACAUGGAGGAUUCGAUGAAGGAUAAUAGUGUUGAGUGCAAAAUGAGUCGUGUAACAUCCCUGGAGUAAUCCCCUAACUAUUUUUUGCCUAUGAUAUUGGUUGUGCAUCAGAUGCAUCUCAUAAGCAUUAUAUUGUGUUAAUUGAUUAAUUUGGUUACCCUCCGGAGUGGGGGAUUCUUUGACAUCGUCAACACCAACCUCUUCUCCAUCACCACCAUCAUGAUCUCCCAUUCAUGUCUGAGUAAUUUCUUUGUGGGCACAUGGGGUGGGUGGAAAUUGGAUCACACAUCUCUUAUGUAAUAGAUGUCAGAUUUGAUAUGGUUUGUGCCUAGUACCUUGUAUGUUUCUGAGACUGAUGUUGUUGUGACUUUGUUAUACUUAAUGCUUGACACUAGGGCCCGAAUGUCAUAAUUUCAUAUUUGAACCCUUUAUGUUUUCAUGAAUAUACAUGUGUUUUUGGAUCAUAUCUGCAAGUUCUAUGCGUGUAUUAUAGUUAAAAGCCAGAGACCUUGAAGUAACAGCAAUCGGGCUAUCAAAAGGGAUGGCUAUGAUUUGAGGAUUACAUGUAUUCAUAGAUUGCUUUGCUCCGAUGCUUUGUGAAACGAUUAAAUUAAUUACCCUUAUUUUCCAUUAGGAUCCCCCUGAAACAGGGGGUAAGACAAAAGAUGGUGUGCAAGUUAUUAUUGCAAGCGCGUACAACUACAUAUGGAAUACAUGCGUGCCUACAUAUGAUUGAUGAAUUGGAGUCAAGCUUAUUGUCACCUUGUGCAGCUAUUAGAUGGUUGCUUCCAUCCAUGAGAUGUCCACUAUCCACUCCCAUGUCUACGCUUUCCGUAAUCAUUGUUCUCUUUAUGUUACGUUUGUUCUUUGCAACUACUAGGACCUAGUAUUUUGUUGUUACUAGAUGAUACCUCGCGCAUUGCUGCGGGAACGCAUGCUAAAUACUAAGAUCCGUAAAUGAAGCAUCAGGUGGCCUCUUGGCGGGGUGUGGGCGGGUGGCCGUGCUGUCCUCCAACACCCAAGAUGCGACCUCGAUCAGCUGGUGACGUCCCUUGAACUCUUGAUCCAGCUGAGGCCGAGGGAGAGUUUUGUCAGCACGACAGUGUGAUGACGAUGAUGAUGAAGUUACCGACGUAGGGCUUCGCCUAAGCACUGCAACAAUAUGAACGAGGUGGGAAUAUGUGGAGGGGGUACCGCACACGGCUAAACAAUCAACUUGUAUGUCUAUGGGGUGCCCCCUCCCCCGUAUAUAAAGGAGUGGAGGAGGGGAAGGGCCGACCUCAUGGGGCGCGCCCAAGGGGGNNNNNNNNNNNNNNNNNNNNNNNNNNNNNNNNNNNNNNNNNNNNNNNNNNNNNNNNNNNNNNNNNNNNNNNNNNNNNNNNNNNNNNNNNNNNNNNNNNNNNNNNNNNNNNNNNNNNNNNNNNNNNNNNNNNNNNNNNNNNNNNNNNNNNNNNNNNNNNNNNNNNNNNNNNNNNNNNNNNNNNNNNNNNNNNNNGGAUUGGGCUUGGGGGGCGUGCGCCUCCCACUUAGCCGCCGCCUCCUAUCUUCCACCAUGGCCCAUUAAGGCCCAUUAACUCCCCGAGGGGUUCCGGUAACCCCCCCGGUACUCCAGAAAAUGCCCGAACUAAUCUGAAACCUUUCCGGUGUCCAAACAUAGCCUUGCAAUAUAUUAAUAUUCAUGUCUCGACCAUUUCAAGACUCAUCGUCAUGUCUGUGAGCACAUCCGGGACUCCAAACUACCUUUGAAAUAUCAAAACACAUAAACUCAUAAUACCGAUCGUCAUCGAACGUUAAGCGUGCGGACCCUACGGGUUCAAGAACUAUGUAGACAUGACCGAGACUCAUCUCCAGUCAAUAACCAAUGCGAUAGACUUGUACGAUGUACAUACUUUCCACCUCCUGUGUGCCAUUGUGGCGACCCCUUUGACAUAUAAAAGGAGGCCCAAGGCGUACCGAGGGGGGAUUCAGACUUUUUGGGCUAGGCAUGCACCACAGCUAGUCCAGGAGCUCAAGAACACCAAAUAUACACCAAAGUAGGACUAGGGUAUUACGCAUCGUUUGCGGCCCGAACCUGGAUAAAAUUCUCCCGCGUUGAUCUUCUAGACCCGCUCUUUGCACAGCCCCGCGCCCCGCCAACCGUAGUAGGGAUUCCUCGUGAUCCCAUAGGUGUCGUUUCCCCGACAACGCCCUGGUGGGUUGUGGUCCCCACGUGGGCCCCCUCACUUAUCCCUUCACACCACAUCAUGACCAACCUCCAGAAAAAAUUCUGCAUUGCUCUCUCUCUCUUUCCCGUGUUCUUUCUCUCAAACCCGCAGAUUUCAUUCUCUUUGCUCGAAGCUCCGUUUCUGAAACUGUCUCGGGGGAUUGUUGCUUGGCAUGUGACUCAUCCGUUUGUCCAAUUAAUUUUUGUUUUAGUGGUUUAUAUUUUGAAUAAUUAGCUACUCUUGGUGCUACUGUAGAUGAUCUUACAUGUUGAAUUCUUAGAGUUAUAAGUAGUUUGAAUGCUUGCUAUGGCCUCCAUGUAUCCCUAUGAGUAGUUGCUAUCAAUCUUGUAAAGUUUUGUUGAGAAAAAUUUUGUGGACUAAAAAUUUCAGAUUUUUUGUUCAUAGGAAAAGGAUGAAUAUAUUUAGGAAAUUUGCUUCCAAGAAGAACUCCAAGGGAAUUAUUGGGGAGUCAUCUGAUAGUGAUCUCCAUCCCUGGAGGUUGGACUAAAAAUUUCAGAAUUUUUGUUCAUAGGAAAAGGAUGAAUAUAUUUUGGAAAUUUGCUUCCAAGAAGAACUCCAAGGGAGUUAUUGGGGAGUCAUCUGAUAGUGAUCUCCAUCCCCUAGUGCUCUCGGCGCGGCGUGGUCAACGUGGUCAAGGAACGACUUCCAUCGGAUGUGGACUGUACGUGGAGAGGCCGACAGCUGGGUCCACGGCGGCAGCAUGGAAGUGCCUCCUUAUUACGCGGAAAAUAAUGAUUCCUCCACCUGACAACAGGGACCCACCGGACGGGCCACCAUAUUUCAUGAAAAAAAUGUUUCCCCCCUGACUGCUGGGACCCACCAGCUACACCUUCGCACGCAAGGAAGUGCCUGACAGUCGGGACCCACCUGGUCGAAGCGUACGUAGCGUUGUCAUUCUGGUCGCGAACGUCUACGUACAUAUAUACUGGUGGAUGUAGAGGCGCGCAUGUGUCGUGGUAGAGGAGCGCAUGUAGCAUGUACACGUACGUACAUCGGCCAGGGUGCAAGAAAGAAAAUAUGGCCACAUAUGUGUACAUACGGGCGGGGUCUCAAACGCCUACUCACACAUACGUACGGCGAGGGCUCGUGUACAUGGCUGGGUCGGAACGGAGAAACAUCAUCGUCGUCAUGUUCAUGGGGAGGCAACGGAAUGCGUCGUGUUCAUCGGGAGGCAAUGUGGCUGGGUUGGAACAGAAUGCGUGGUUGUGUUCAUUGGGAGGGCUUGGACGGAAGAGGUGAUGGAAAUGAGGCCUGGCGUACCGCACAACGGAGGAAACAGACCUCCUACGGUUGAAACGGGGGUCCUGUUGAUCGAGAGGGGUGUGGCGUACCGCACAACGGAGGAAACGGACCUCCUACGGUCGAAACGGGGGUCCUAUUGAUUGGGAGGGGUGUGGUGUACCGCAAAAGGGAGGAAACGGACCUCCUACGGUCGAAACGGGGGUCUUGUUGAUCGGGAGGGGUGUGGUAUACCGCAAAACGGAGGAAACGGACCUCCUACGNNNNNNNNNNNNNNNNNNNNNNNNNNNNNNNNNNNNNNNNNNNNNNNNNNNNNNNNNNNNNNNNNNNNNNNNNNNNNNNNNNNNNNNNNNNNNNNNNNNNNNNNNNNNNNNNNNNNNNNNNNNNNNNNNNNNNNNNNNNNNNNNNNNNNNNNNNNNNNNNNNNNNNNNNNNNNNNNNNNNNNNNNNNNNNNNNNNNNNNNNNNNNNNNNNNNNNNNNNNNNNNNNNNNNNNNNNNNNNNNNNNNNNNNNNNNNNNNNNNNNNNNNNNNNNNNNNNNNNNNNNNNNNNNNNNNNNNNNNNNNNNNNNNNNNNNNNNNNNNNNNNNNNNNNNNNNNNNNNNNNNNNNNNNNNNNNNNNNNNNNNNNNNNNNNNNNNNNNNNNNNNNNNNNNNNNNNNNNNNNNNNNNNNNNNNNNNNNNNNNNNNNNNNNNNNNNNNNNNNNNNNNNNNNNNNNNNNNNNNNNNNNNNNNNNNCCACCCCUCCACGGGCACCCCUCCACCAUCUACUGCUCAUCCUGCCCUCCACACCACGGGGUCCUGUUCAUCCACCCCUCCACGGGCACCCCUCCACCAUCUACUGUUCAUCCAGCCCUCCACCACACCACGGGGUCCUGUUCAUCCAGAGGCAACGCCACCGCUCACUGUUCAUCCACCCCCCCGCAACACUCACUGUUCAUCCCAUCGAUCGGCUUCAGUUAGCAGCAGUAGCCAAGGAAUUGCUCGAUCGGGUUCAGUUAACAGCCAUCGAUCGAUCGCUCGGGUUUAGUAAUGCGUAGCCUGCAGUGCAAUCGCUCGGGUUCAGUUAGAGCCCAACGCCUCGCUCGGGUUCAGUUAGAGCCAACGCCUCGCACACACGCGCGUACGUGUACGAGAGAAACGCGCAUCGCUCGGCCCCCGACCUCCCACCGUAACCGGGAACUCCCAGUAAUUUCCCCCCUCGCUUCUACCAUGUUUUUUUCUGUCAUGGAUGGCCCAAAGAAUGUCAUGCAGCUGCGUCUCCGGCCCGCCCAGGACGAAAAGCCCAUUUUCUGUCAUGAUUUUUUUGUCAUAGAAGUAGGAGCCCACCACAUCUAUGAUGAUACCGGGUUUUGUCACAAUUAUCGUCAUAGAAGUGUCAUAUGUAUGACAAAAAAAAUUUCGUUUAGCCCAAAAUGUCACGGAUGUGUCUUUUUUUUGUAGUGAUAGAGCCUUCAAGUUCUAGGCCGGGUCAAACCUUUAGCCGGGUUAUAACCAUGGGGAAUAUCCCCAACACAACAAGUUAAUUUGCGGCUGAUGUCCUCCUCGUUCGAUCUCAAUUCCCAUACACUCAGUAGUGGAAGACCUAAAAUUCCCCGAUGGCGACGGUGACGGCCCAGAUCCAGAGUAAGCUGGGACCGUGACUUCUCCAGCAAGCUCUAUCGAGUUAAAGUGAUAGUUGAUGUUAGGAAACAAAUGAGAAAUCAUGUCUCUAUAGCUAAAUAUAAGAAAAGACAAAUCUUGAAAGCUAAGUAUGAAAGGUUGCCUUAUUGGUGUGUUGUUUGUCGCAUGAUUGGGCAUUUAUUUACAUUGCAUGGUGAGUGUGCUCUAAUCUUUAUGGAUGUGUGAUCAAAUUGGGUCAUGCGCUCUAUUGGUCAUGCUAGAGAUAGUAGCCAAUCUGAUAGAGUUGAUUCAAAUGGUAAUAUAUCAUGUGAUGUUAGAGGAUGAUAAGAAUAUGGAGAUUGAUGCUAACAAAAGUAAUGUGAAUGCUGAUCGGAACAACCUUGACCUGAGCCGAAAGUGAAACAUGGCAAUGUUUGGCAAGCAAUGCCUACAUGUUGGUGCUGCCACCGGUACUGGAGGUAGUAAUGAAACACCUCCCAAAGCUUUGUGAGACACUUCUAUAGUAUGACAUGCCAAGCUCCAUCAACCCACUUAACAACUCCACAAUCUACACCUCCCUGCAAAUCAUCUAUAACACUACCCUCUCUAGGUUUAAAGAGCCCACAUUCAAUUAAGGUCUCUAACUAGAAUUGGGUCACCGACUUUGGCCAGGUCAACAAUUUCGCAAAACUCUCUCAUUCAAUUAUUUUAUACUAUACACUAUGCUUUCUAAUUUUUAAGGCCUCAUAAUUAAUCGACGUAUUCAAUUUAUAAUUGUAUCAUCCAAUUUUGACCGGGUCAAUGAUUUCUCAAGCCCUCCCAUUCAAUUCUUUUAAUACACUAUGUUUUCCUAAUUUUGAAGUUCUUUCAUUUAAUUGAGGUAUUCAAUUUUGGAUUUGGUUUACGGUUUUGAUUGGGCCAACAAUUUUUUAAAUCAAUCAACAACAACCUAGCCUAUAAAAACAUAUCAAUCCCACACACCCUCCCACCACCUAGAAAAAAGAAGCGUCACCAUGUGAUAUUGUAGCAUCAAUAGUAUAUGCAACCACUGACAUAGAAAUUUCUCCACAUAAAUAUAGAGUUUAGCGGAUAACAUAGAAUCACACAACAAAAGGCCCACCAAAUCAACCCAUUAUAAAUAUAAAUAAAACACACUCUAUCAUCUCCUCACCCGCCAAAUAAAAUAUUUUAUCAGUUCCAAAAAUAUAAGGGGUAUCCUUUUUUUAUAAAGUUAAAUUUCUUUAACUUUGACCAAAUUCAGCGCAAAAAUAUCGACAUCCACAAUAUUAAAGAAAGUAUGGAAAUUCAUUUCAUGAUGAAUUAAAAAAAUACCAAUAUGAUAUUGUGGAUUUUGAUAUAUUUCUCUACAAAUUUGAUCAAACUUAAAAGGUUUGCCUUUUCAAAAAGUAACAAACCUUAUAUUUUAAAACUUAGUGUUUUUUAAAGAAACCCAACAAUAACAAUGGCGCAGCAAAGCGCGUCCAACCCUUCUAGUAAUAUUUGAACUCACAACACAAUUCAACGUACUACAACUAAAGUGUCGACGUCGGCGUCUAGAUGAGAGUGAGUAGGAGAGAGUGCAAGAGUGAGUGAAGCAGUGAGGGAGGGGAACGGAUCGGGGCCCUCUUUUGACCAGUUUCAGCUAAUAACCGUUACCCUCUCCGUCUCUGGUAGCCAAUGUGGCAGCUGUAAGCAAGCCCCAUCUCUCAGAAAUAGGAUUAAAUUGGCUCGAAUCGAUCAUUAGACUUUAUUGAGAAAACUAGCAAGGAAAGUGGCAGAUUUUGUUGCGUACAAGACAAGUGGUACCAAAACAAGAUUUCGAUGAGGAAGGUGGUAGUUUUUUGUAAUUCACACAAAGAUGACUAUGAUAUUUCUCUAUAAGUACGCCCCUGGAUAAGUUUUGGUAUUUCUUCCUAUGGCAUCCAUAAUAGCCAAGCAAUGUACGUGUUAGGGAUGGAUUGGAGACCAAUGAGACAGGCCAUCGCUUCAACUUGCUCUGCAUUUUUGUAUCUCGCAAUCUCGUAACUAUGCGUCCACAAGAGGCAGAUCCUUCCAAGGUGAUCCCCGGCGAUGCACCCCACAUGGCUACCGCCAUCAUGCGAAUGGAAAGUCUUGUCCAUGUUAACAUCCAACCCAUAUCCGAUGGUUUCUAAGAAACUAUGUUGCUCGAACUGGUUCCUGCAUUAGCCAUAAGACAAUUUUCUUUGUGAAUUUUGUGACACUCCAAAAUUUUAAUUUGGUUUUUAUCAAAAACUUUGUGGUUUUUGAAAAGAGGCCAUUUAAUUUUUUUUAGAAAAACCUUCCUCUUAAAAAACUUCCUUUUCUUUGGCAAGGUUUUUAUUUUUAUUCAAGCUAUGGUGUUUGAUCUUUUGAAACUUCUUCUCUGUUGGUUCCCUCUCAAAUCUAUUUUGGGAGUUUAAUUUUUUUCUUUUAAAAAGAAACUCUAUGAAAAUUUGGGAUUUUCAUAUCUUGAAAACCACCCAUGACUUGGCAUUUUGCCCAUGUGGUAAAACCCCUCCAAAACCUCCCCUCCUCCUUGUAAUCAACCUAAGUUCUCUGUCCCAACUAAUCUAAGCAAGUUUUGGAUUUUAUUCUAAUUAUUUUUCCUCUCAAAUCAUUUCUGAAAAUUAUUUGGAGCCUGAGUGAUUUUCAAAGCAAGUACCCUUUUGCAUUUGAGUUUUGACCUCAAACCAACUCUCCUGGAUAGUCCUUUGUACCCACAACCCAGAACCAUCUUGAUCCACUCCUUCUCUUUUCAAAUUUUUCAAAAUUCAGUCUCUGCAAGUUUGGACCAGAUUUGCCAAAUUUGAUGAAAUUCAUAUCUACACUCCUCCAAAAAUUCCACCAAAAUUCAGGCAGCCUACUUGAGCAAUGAGAAGCCACUCCACCAAAAAUCAGCUCAAGGAAAAAUCCCCAGAGGCCAAAUUCAUUCUGUCGAACACCUGAGCUGCACUGUUCCUUUGCAAGUUCAGAAAGUUCAGAGAUUCAGUCGUUUUCCCUUCGUCAGACUCGGUCACGCGGCCACAGUGCGCCCUGGCGCGUUGCACGCAGCCUCUUCUCCCUGGCCAGCACCCCGCACGCACGCUUGGCCGAUUCCUGGCGUCGGUAGCAACGAGCCUCGCCGGCGUUGGAAGCUUCUGCGGUGGCUGCACCUUCUGUGGCGGCCAACAAGGGCCCGAGCCCUCUCGCCAUGCCACCCGGCGCCGCCCAACACCCCCUGGCUCUCCGCGUGUCCCUGCCAUGCCAGCGCACGCCCGUGGCACCAUCGCCGUGGCCCGGCAAGCACGGAACGUGCUCCCUGCCGCCGACGGGCCGCGCCACCCCCGUUCCGUCGAGCUCGCCCAUAGCACCAAAUCCCAGCCCGUUUAGCACCUAAAUGGAACCGGUGGACCUCAACGGCGAUGCCCAAGCCCCUAAUCCCACUGCCCAACCACAGCACCGCCGUAAUCACUCGCCGGAGACCCCCGUUCACGGCAACUGCCUCGGGCCGCCUAUAAAAAGGGCCCCCGAGCUCACCCUCGUGCACGCAUCAUCACCACUCCUCACCAACGCCACGCCAGGCCACUAGGAGGUCCUCGAGGAGGUCUCCUCCCCCAACUCCGGCCGCCCCGAUCCGCCUCGGCCUCCACCACGAUUCGCUCCGCCCUCUCCGACGAGUCCCUCGACCACCCGAGCGCCACCGUCCACUGGAGCAAAGCUUGCCGUCGACGUGGUACUCGCCGACGACCACCACCACCACCAACCGACGCGGAAUGGCGCCCUGAGCACGGAGAUACCGAAGGAGGUGACGGAGCCGCGAACUUCACCGAGCUAGGCUCCGACUACUCUGAACCAGGCAAGCAUGUUUGAACUUUUGAUAUGAUGAGUGUCUUGGCAUGUUUUGCAUUUAGUUAGUUUCAUGGCAUGUUGAGAAGCAUAUCGAUGAACGUUAUUUUAUGCAAUAUUGAGGUAAGUGAGUUCGAUGAUCCAUAAGUGGAUGGAUGUGAGUAUGAAUGGCCAUGUGUUGGCAUGAGGAUGGGUAAGAUGGCAGUGUCGUAGCAUGCCAGUCUUAUGCCAGACUAUGUGACUUCAGUGUCAAACCGUAUCGGUCCAGUUCCUCUCAUUUCCUUCCCUGUACUACCACAUGUUUUCCGCAAGGAAUAUGGUUUAGUAAGUUGCAAACCGCUUUUCUGGUACACACCAAAAGGAGAGGCCGUGAUGAUGGUUCCAGGCCCUGGAUUAAAGCCAGUCAUCCGGUCAGGGGGCAUGGGUGUUUCCGGUUGGGACCGAGAGGGGGGCACCCCUUAGAGCGCGCGUAUAUAAAUUUGAUCCCAUGCUAUUCGAUAUUGUGAUCUCCCCGUCUCAAAUGUUUUUCUUGGAAGAUGUCUAGGGUGAUUCCUAGCAUCAAGAGGUAGGAUGGGUGUGUACUGGUUAGCUGUGUUUUCUUCCGAAAUACCGUAAACGGAACUAGUCCUUCGUGACUACGGAAAUCCGUUGGCUGAGGAAAAAUUUUGUACAAACUCUGUAGAGUCAUAUAUUCCUCCAAAUCAUCUAUUCCAUGUCCUAGAUCGAUAUUAUCUUAUCCUAAUCAAAUGUCAGUUUUGAUGACAGAGACUCCGGUGAUUCGCAUGAGUGCUAAUUCCGGUUAAUUGAUUAUUCCUGUGGAUGGACUAACCCAUUUAUUCUCAUGAAUUAAAUGUUUAUUAUGAGUAUUCUUUACUUGUGAAUAAAAGCCCUUUUUGCGAUGUCGCUCAGACGUCCGACUGUGGCAUUGUUGUAUUCUACUUUCUUUUCAAGCCCUUUAUGCGAUGUCGCUCAGACGUCCGACUGUGGCAUUUCUUUUAAAGCCCUUUCUGUGAUGUCGCCCCGACGUCCGACUGUGGCAUUUCUUUUAAAGCCCUUUCUGUGAUGUCGCUCCGAUGUCCGACUGUGGCAUUUCUUUUAAAGCCCUUUCUGUGAUGUCGCCCCGACAUCCGACUGUGGUAUUUCUUUUAAAGCCCUUUAUGUGGUGUCGCUAAGACGCCCGACUGUGGUAUCAUUUCCUUAUAUUUAUUUGUUCACCUUUCGAGGCGUCGCUUCAGACACCCGAUCGGUAGUUAUUUAUGUUUUGUUGGGAUUUCAGGCGGACUACCGCCGUUUCCCUUUUAUUUACCUUGUUAUGCUAAUUUUUUGAAUGUACAUUGGUGAAUUAUUCAUGACGCAUCCAUGCAUGCAUUUGUUAUAUCUUACGUCCGAACUGUCUUGCGAGUACUUUCAAAGUACUCACUGGCUUGUUGAUUUGGCCAGAUGCUGACGAAGGCGAUCUCAUGGAUGAAGAGUUUGAUAGCGAGUCCGACACCUAGAGGAGUCCCAGUCAGUCUCGUGCGACCCUAGAUUUGGUCACUGUUUUAUAUCCGCUUCCGCUACCAAAUAAAUUCAUCGAGCCUCACCUCGACGCUCGAUAAGAUGACAGACUUAGAGUCUUGUAUUUCUCUCCCCGUUGUGUUUCUCCACCACCGCCCUAUCCUCGAGUCAGUAGUAUGCCUCCACACCACUAUGUCAUGUCCGCCAUUAUGUAUAAUUAUUGGCGUGCUUGUAAUAAUUUGGUUGAGCAACCGUAGUUCGACCCUGUAAUAUAUUUUAUGCUACUGGCUUAUUGUAUCAAGAAUCUGUCUACCAGUGAGGAGGAUUUCUCUCAUACUGGACUCAAAAGAUUGGUUUCUCAAUAAAUAUUUUUAUUGGAAAACCGGUCGUGACAAAUUUACCAUAAGAUCUUGAAUGUAUCUAGUCAACAAAUUAAUAGUUAGAUAUUUUACAUUCCCCUUUAUCAUGAACCACGUCGCAUCGGAGGUGCCAGGAGGCUCUCCAAAGAAUCGUGAAGAUCAUGUCUAUUAUAUCCUUGCUCACAUUGAACAAAAGGAAUGCAUCUGGAACAAUCUUACACAAGAAAAGAAAACUUCUUACACAAUGAGAACUCAAACAAGAAAAGAAAGAUCGAUCGGAUCCGGAUGUAGGUUUUUUCACAGAUUCUUCUAAUGUUCUGAUCCAUGCAUGAACCAGCCGGGCCUCAUUCAUCAAACAAUAUUGCUUCGACUAUCGUGGAGUGAGGCCUUGACCCAUAUGUUGAUUAUUUAGGCCUUGUUCGUUUAUCCCUGGCUGGAUCAGGGCCCAAACCAUAUGUAUUUUUUCCUUUUUUUUCACCAUAUGUAUAUUAUUCUGCCCCAAAAACAGUGUUUUGCCUUUUGAUUUGAUAGGAACCUAACACUGUUGACUCGGUGCAAAACUCCGGCAGCCAACAAAUAAACUAACACUGCGUUUAAUAAACUAACAUAUGCUCGUUCGUGCAGGGAAAAACUGUCGUUGUUCGCUCUGCCAAAAAAGAUAAAUGCAUUUCCCUAAAAAAGAUAAAUGCAUAGGAAAUGCGGCUGCCUUGAAAGAUUAGAAAAAAACUACUCAUGCAAAUUUAAAACAUGUUCAUGGAAUUUUAAAUAUUCCUGAAAAUUUAAAACAUGUUCAAAUUUUUUUAUAAUAUUCACGAAUUUAAUAUAUGUUCAUGUUCCUUAAAGAUGUUCAAGGAUUUAAAAAAUAUAAAUUCUUAAUUUUAACAUGUCCACGGAAAAUGUUCCCAAAUUUUAUAAAAAAUUAUAGUAUUCGUGUAUUGCAGAAAUGUUUACAUAUUUGAAAAAUGUUCACCAAUUUAUGAAAUAUCCAUGAAUUUAAAAAAUGUUCAUAUGUUUUACUAAUGAUUGCUCGUUUAGAAAAUUUUCAUGUGUUUUCAAUAAUUUUUCACAAAUGUAUAAACUAUUCAUGAUAUUUUAAAAUUUUCAUGAAUAUUCCUAAAAAAAUUAAAUGUCUCGUGAAUUUUAACAAUGUCGAUGUUUUUUAAGAACAUGCGUUUUAAAAAUGUUCACAACUAUAUAAAAACACAUUCCAUGUAUUUAAAACUAUUCAAAAAAUCUUUUAAUAUAUGAUAGUAAAUUUAAGAAUAUUUAUGAAUUAUGGGAAUGCUCUCUAUAGUUUUUGUUGAGUUUUAGGGUUUCCUCUUUAUUUAAUAUUUAUUGUCGUUUUGCUAUUUUUUUCCUUCUUUUUGUAUAGGUUUUCUUUUAUCUUUUUUUAAUCAUGAACAUGGAGGAUUCGAUGAAGGAUAAUAGUGUUGAAUGCAAAAGGAGUCGUGUAACAUCCCCGGAGUAAUCCCCUAACUAUUUUUUCCUAUGAUAUUGGUUGUGCAUCAUAUGCAUCUCAUAAGCAUUAUAUUGUGUUAAUUGAUUAAUUUGGUUACCCUCCGGAGAGGGGGAUUCUUUGACAUCGUCAACACCAACCUCUUCUCCAUCACCACCAUCAUGAUCUCCCACUCAUGUCUGAGUAAUUUCUUUGUGGGCACAUGGGGUGGGUGGAAAUUGGAUCACACAUCUCUUAUGUAAUAGAUGUCGGAUUUGAUAUGGUUUGUGCCUAGUACCUUGUAUGUUUCUGAGACUGAUGUUGUUGUGACUUUGUUAUACUUAAUGCUUGACACUAGGGCCCAAGUGUCAUAAUUUCACAUUUGAACCCUUUAUGUUUUCAUGAAUAUACAUGUGUUUUUGGAUCAUAUCUGCAAGUUGUAUGCGUCUAUUAUAGUUAAAAGCCAGAGACCUUGAAGUGACAGCAAUCGUGUCACACCCUAGCUAGUCAUGCAUCAGAGUGUGUGCAUCAUGUUUAAAUUUCCAUUUAAUUUGAAAUGGGGAUUUGUGAAACCCUCAGAAUCAUUUUUGAAAAUGAUCCAAAUAAAAAUUUCUCCAAAAAGGUCCAAGAAAAUGCUCAUGUUGCUCUCUGAAAAUAUUGGACAGAGAUAAAAAUCAAACCAAUAUUUUUAAGAGCUCAUAGGUAUUUAUUUUGGGCAUUUGGAAUUAAUGCAUAAAUAUUUGCAUUGGAAAUAUAUUAGUUAUAUAUAUUAAUAUAUGUCCAAAUAUUAUGCCAUUUAUAAAGGAGCUCUGGAAUAAUAUAUCUAGCCCCUGCAAAAAUUGGCAUAAGGUAAAUAAAUGAUUUAAUAUUUUAUUUAAAUCAAAACAAAUGUCAGAAAUUAUAAAAACAGAAAACAGAAAAAAAGGGAAAACUUACCUGGCGCCACCACAGGCCCACCAGCCAGCCCACCUGGCCGGCCCAGCCCGGCCACCGCUCCAGCGAGCUGCUUGGCUUGCCAGGCAGGCAGCCAAGGUGCUCGGCGGCGGCACCGCAGCUCGCCACGCAGCUGCACGUCGCCCUGCUUCCCCCUCUCGCCGCCCUGCUGGCCUGGACGAGCUCCACGUCGCGCCCCGACCCCUCUGGACACCUCCAUUCGCCCCCAGUUCCUCUCCCUCGCGCUCCCACGCCAUGGCCGACGCCACCGUCGCCGCACCGCCGCCGUAGCCGUGCUCCCCGUCGUCUCCACGCCGCGCCACCGUGCCCAGAAGCUCCGCCGUCCUCUACUUCUUCGAGCUAGCCGAGCCCCGAGCGCUCGCGUGCCCCGAAGCCGCCGCACCAACCUCGCCCGAACCGCCAUCGCCGGAGAUCCCCUUCGCCGUCGCCGCUGCAGCAGCUCAUCCCCGACCACGCCGUCCUUUCCAUCAAGACCGCAGUGAGCUGUGCUAACUUCCCCUUCCUCUCUUUCUCUCUCUCGUGCACCACAGCGAGCACACUAAGCUCACCCGCACGCGCCGUCGCGGACCUCUUCGCCGACGUGCUCCCGGCCAUCCUCCGGCCACCUCACCUUGUCCAUCGCACUCACCACGCCGCGUUGGGGCUAACCAUGCACUCCUCGCACCUCACCGCACACUCUAGCCACGAGUUCGUAUUCAACCGAACUCCGGCGGCCGCCAAAGUCGCCGCCGGCGCCAACUCCGGCCACCCCGAGCCCAACCACCACCACCAAUAGUCGCGGCUCAACCUCAGCAACACGUAGAUGCCUUCCGCCGUCCAUUUGGUUGCCGGAAUGGCAAAAAGCACUUUCGUCGCCGCGUCGGGCUCGCCGGCGGCUAGACGCCGGCGUGUUUGACUCUGACUUUGACCACGGGUGGGCCCCGGUUGACCCCCUGGGUCUAUGACAUGUGGGGCCCCCUUUGUUAAUUAAUCCAGUUAGUUUAAAUCUAAUUUAGUUAAACUAAUUGAAUACUGACAUGCGGGACCCACUGGUCAGUUUGACCUGGACCAUCCCGUUGACCACUGACGUCAUCAUGACGUAGUGCUGACGCAGUAAUUUAAUUACUGGAAUUAUUUUUACACAGGAAAUUCCAGAAAAUGUUUCAAACUUCCAAAAUUCAUAUAAAAUCAACCGUAGCUCCAAAUCAAACAAGUUAUAUAUGAAAAAUGAUCAGAAAAAUCCAAUCUUUCCAUCUGUACUGGUUUCAUGCAUGUUUAAGCAAGCUAACCUGCUGUUUAUCACAGAACAAGAUAAAACACCUUAAAUGGCAACUUAUGAGUUUGAACUUUGAAUCAAUGGUUCAAAUUAGUUCAAACCCAUCUGUUCUUAGUUGCAUUAGCCCAAUACACUCAUUUUGCCAUGUCUCAUGCAUGCAUCAUAUUGUUGCAUACUGUUUGGUAAUGUUUGUGUAUGGGUGCUCUCUGCGGCAGGUUCUGCCCCCGAGGAGUACCGUGAUAACCCCGACGAAGAGCAAUACCAGUGCACCGACCCGUCAGGCAAGCAACCAAAAAUUUGAUCAUAUCGAUACAAUCCCAUGUUCUCGCUCCUGCUCUCUUUUACUGCAUUAAGAUAACGCGUUUCAAACUGCUGUGUGCUACGGUAGUUGAACCCAUUUCCUCUGCAUGACCUGUCAUUGCCACAGUAACUAGAUGAAACCCACUAGCAUGUGUAGGAGUUGAUUGAGCCAUAUGUAUGUGUUGUUCCUACCUUGCUAUGCCUGCUAUGCUUAGAGUCGUGUCAGGUCUGGCUCAUCUGGGUGAUGGCUAGACUGAAAUGAUUAUGUCGGUAAUGAGAGUGGUGUGGUGAACACGAUUUGGUAAAGGUAUCGAUGAGAGGCCAUGUAGGAGUACAUGGUGGGUUGUUUCAUUGAAGCCGACCUUAAGCACUGAGAUCUGUAUGUGUGAUUUAAGAUACAACUACUACCAUGCAUUGGGCCCUGAAAUAUGACCCCGCUCGACUUCUUAUUCACCCUAGCUCUCUGUCCAGGAGUUGCAAGUAGUUUCUGGUGUUUGUAGCCUACUGGAGGCCGUGGACAGUGCUGACCGUAGGGGUGGGCUGUGAUGCGGUAGGUACGUGGCCGGGUGUACCGAAUACCCGUUAGGUAUCUCGGGAACCCUGUUCACAUCGUUCGGGGCCGUAUGGGAAACCUCGGCCGGACUCCCUGCGGAUGGAACCUGAAUAGGCGAUAAACCUGGACUAGAGGCUUAAGUGUUUAGGUAGGUCGUGGUCUACACCCACGUCGGCUUUCGCUUGAAGUCUGCCGAGCACAUAUCGUGUGCAGACGCUAAGUGGUGGAAACAUGUAUGAAGAAGUACACCCCUGCAGGGUUAUCAUGAUCUAUUCGAAUAGCCGCGUCCGUGGUAAAGGACUACUUGGUUGCCUAUACAGUUCAUAGACAAGUAAAUGGAAACUACUAAAAGCCUCAAGAUAAGUGUGAGUGCCGAGGAUGGCUCUUCCGUAGGAAGACGGAGGUGGAUCCUCGGUAGUGUAUUGAAGUGGUGAGUAGUGGACUCGUGUGCGCAAAACCAUUUCAAGUUGGAGUCUCGUAGGAUAGCCUAGCCAAGAGUCAAAGCUGGCUUGCUGCAACAACUCCACCAACCCUUCUUGAUAAUGUGCAUGUAUGUAGGAUCUAAUGUAAGUCUUGCUGAGUACCUUUGUACUCAUGUUGCUAUAAUUUACAUUUUUACAGAAGACGCUGCAACCCCUUCUGAUGGGUUCUUCGUAGACGUUGACAUCAAUGAGUAGGCUAAGGCCCAGGUGGUGAUCCUGAGCUUGUGAAGGACCACGUAGUAUAGCUAGGCUUCCCAAGCCUCUUUUUAUUUUACUAGUUGUCUGUACUCAGACAAGCUACUUCCGCUGCUGGUUUGUAUGACUGUAUGACUUGAAUGCUGGGUCGUGUGACCCGUACCUAUGUGUAUGUUAUGUAUGGCUCUCUGAGCCUUAAAUAAAGUACUUGUGUCGUAGAGUCAUGUUGUGAUGCCAUGUUGUAUUUGCACAUAUCGAGCAUACUGUGUGUAUGUUAUUGAAAUGCUUGGUAUGUGUGGGAUCUGACUAUCUAGUUGUUUAUCUUUAGUAGCCUCUCUUACCGGGAAAUGUCUCCUAGUGUUACCGCUGAGCCAUGGUAGCUUGCUACUGCUCUGGAACACUUAGGCUGGCCGGCAUGUGUCCUUCUUCGUUCCGGUGUCUGUCCCUUCGGGGAAAUGUCACGCGUUGAGUACCGGAGUCCUGUUAGCCCGCUACAGCCCGGUUUACCGGAGUCCUGCUAGCCCAGUGCUACAGCCCGGACCCACUUGCUGAUGACCGACACGUUCGAAGCUGGGUCAUGGAUGCCUGUCCCUGUAAGUCUGUGCCACUUUGGGUUUACGACUAGUCAUGUCAGCCCGGGCUCCUUAUCAUAUGGAUGCUAGCGACACUAUCAUAUACGUGAGCCAAAAGGCGCAAACGGUCCCGGGCAAAGGUAAGGCGACACCCGUGGGGAUACCGUGCGUGAGGCCGCAAAGUGAUAUGAGGUGUUACCGGCUAGAUCAAUGUGACAUCGAGUCGGGGUCCUGACAGCGUUGGCAUCAGAGCCGGACUGCCUGUAGGUUCUCCAAGCCAAACUGGUCGAUGUUGAGUCUAGAAAUUCUUUAGUUAUAUGUAGGGGAAUUGUUUGUGGGUUGGAACAUAAGGCUCUUUUUACUCCUCUAUCUUGUGGCAUUCUGAUCUGAGUCAGUCUAUUCUUCCACCGGGGGUUAAGGAAUUAGGACCUAUUCUCUCUAUCAGGAUCACGUGUUACUAAUCAGUAGUACCUUAUAGGUAUGAUGGAUACAAGCCUAGUUCAGUUCUUUUACCAUAUUAUGUUGCUAGGAUGGUCUCAGAACUUGGUAUGAUGAUGUUGAGUGUGUAUGAAAUCCUUUGUCAAAUGUCUCAAAAUCCUUCUUGAGCAUUUACAGCUGUUAUGCUGCCGAAAUUUUGCUAGAAAUUCUAAUGCCUUUGCAUUAUGAUUGUGCUUUCAGAUGGCCACUCGCGACCUCAAUCAAGUGGUUCGCCUGACUCGAUGCCUAGAUGUACCCGGCCAUACUGCCAAGUUGGUCAGGGUAAUGACUGAGGCUGGAUACCGCUGGUAUCCUGAGUACACGGUCGAAGAGCAAUUUCGGGACUUCAAUCAAAGCCAGUAUCUCUGCACUGUCAGGAUAUUUCCAUCUUAUCCUGGAUCCACCGAGCCUCUUCACUGCUCCUAUGGACUCGGGGUUACUAUUGAGAUGGCUGUGCAGGACGCCGCCUACUCUAUGAUGACCAUUAUGCGAGUCAGAUCUGGUCUAUUUCGAGACUCUGAUUUCCGGUAUAUGCCAGGAUCACUUCCGGGAGCACAAGGGUAUCUCCAGGCUAUCUAUGCUGACCCCACUCAGGAGGAUUCACGGACUCGCACCACUGCUGAGAUGCUCGAGGAUAAGGACCGUGAAAAUCGGGCCUUGAGGUUAGAGCUCUUCAAUACCCGUGCUGACCACUGGGCCACAUUGACUCGGUUUGCACCGGCGGUGCAAGCUGGAUAUUCGGAUAUGCGCGAUCUCUAUCCUGUGAGAUCUGCUCUGCCAGACGUGAUGGGUUGGCGUGAUGUAGGAGGCAUCACCCACCUCGUGGUCCCCGCAGGCCACCGUCUGUUGGUCCAAGACCUCAUCCUAGCCCCUAUGGUCCACAAGCUCCGCGAGAUCGUCUGUUUCCGGAUGAUCAUGUUGAGCUUCCAGGCUAUGGAGGUGACUUCUACGAGGACUACUACGGAUCGGUCUGAGUUAGUGGUAGUAUCACUAGUUCGCACUAGCUGUGUCGUCUAUCGUCCCGCGUGACUCGUGGGAUAUGACCUAGUUUGUACUCUUUCCGGAGGUGUAGAAAAAUAAUGUAUAGGAGCUUGGGAUGCCUCCGAUAAGAUGUAAUCCUCUUUCACCGUAAUAGUACUUUGUUUGGUCUUGUACUAAACCCUGUAUGGUGUGUAUGACGAUGGAAUAAAGAAGCAGUUUCUGUAUCUACCAUGUCAUACGGAUGAUCAUCUUGCAUUUCGAGUUAUUCCUUACAUUCUGUAUCCUAUGUCGGAAUUUUAUCAUUCUGACUAAAUCAUUGUCUUGUUUACCUAGGAUGGUCAACACGCGCACUAACCCUGCUCCUCAAGAGCAGGCCGAAGGCAGUGAAGGCAGGAAUGCAAAUCUGCCUCAUCCUCCUUCCCUAGCCGAGGUUAUGAUGGAAGCUGAGAGAAACAAGCGGGAGACCAACCGUUUGUUGGAGCGUAUUGAACAGAAUACAGCACACCAUCAGAGGACUAACGUGGUGUCACUCAGUGAUUUUAUCAAAUUGCAUCCACCCACGUUCCACCACUCCGUCGAGCCUCUCGACGCUGAUGACUGGCUUCGUAGUAUCUCUCACAAACUGCGUUCCGCGCUGGUAGCGGAGGCUGACAAGGUCACCUUUGCUGCAUAUCAUCUUGAAGGCCCCGCUAGUCUAUGGUGGGAGAAUUAUGGAGCUAUGCGCCCUGCGGGCCAUGUCACUACUUGGGCUGAAUUCAGCGAGGCUUUCCGUGAACAUCACAUUCCGGAGGGUCUCAUGGACCGUAAACGUGAGGAAUUUUGCAGUUUCACCCAAGGCUGACUCUCUGUGGAUGCUUAUAGCAGGGAGUUUGGUAAUCUCGCACGAUAUGCAACCGAGGAAGUUUCUACCGAUGCCAAGAAGCAAGCAAGGUUCCGUAAGGGGCUUAGUCCUGAGCUUCGCCGCGACCUCCGUCUGCAUGAGUGCACAUCUUUUCAGAAACUUGUCAACAAGGCCAUCAGUGCUGAAACUGGUCAGACUGAUUAUGACGCAACACGCAAGCAUGGCCGUGACAUGGGUUCCUCGUCCGGUGCUGGUCCUCAGAAGCGCCGCGUGUGGGUGCCCAACACUGCCCUGCCACCCAGGUUCACACUGAGGCCAUCCUUCCAGGCGCCUCGCCCCGUUCAACAGUCUGCACCAGCCAAGCCCUAUGGUGGUCCAACCAACAAUGCUCCUCCACGUACCAGUUCCGUGACCUGUUUCAAGUGUGGGGAAUCUGGUCACUAUAUGCGUGAGUGUCCCCAGACCAACCCCAAUCAAUCUGCUAAAGCUGUUGGCCGUGGCAAGCCGACAGGGAAAGUGUUCCACGCCAAGCCGAUCACCGCCUCACGUGGCCAUGUCAACUAUAUCUCUGCCGAAGAAGCUCAAGAGGAUUCCAACGUCGUUCUCGGUACGCUUCUUGUUAAUUGCCACCCGGCAUCUGUUCUUUUCGAUACAGGAGCCUCUCAUUCUUUUAUAUCCGAAAAUUAUGCUCGUUUGCAUAACGUUGCAUUCUGUGACAUGCCAUCCACUAUGGAAAUUUCUACUCCCGGGUCUAGAUGGCAGACCUCUAGGGUAAGUUAUGGAAAUGAAAUCCAAGUCGACAGACUUGUUUUCCUCGCGUCAUUGAUAGCCCUUAAAUCUUCAGAUAUUAAUAUCAUUCUGGGUAUGGACUGGAUGUCGGCUCAUCAAGCCAAAAUUGAUUGCUUCUCUAGGACUGUUCAACUCACUCAUCCUUCGGGGAAGAUAGUCAAUGUCUUGACCCGAAUAGCCAAGCGACAAUUAUAUUCUCUUAACGCCAGCCCUUUGCCAGACCUUGAGGACAUUCCGGUAGUCUGUGACUUCCCGGAUGUCUUUCCAGAGGAAUUGCCAGGUGUUCCACCUGACAGGGAUGUUGAGUUCGUAAUAGACCUCAUCCCAGGAACCGUUCCGAUUGCUAGAAGACCUUAUAAGAUGGCACCCCUAGAACUAGCCGAGCUUAAGAAACAACUCGAUGAGUCCUUGAAAAAGGGUUUCAUCCGACCUAGCUCAUCUCCGUGGGCUUGCCCCGUCCUAUUCGUCAAGAAGAAGGAUGGUACGGACCGGAUGGUUGUAGAUUACCGACCUGUCAAUUUGGUCACAAUCAAGAACAAAUAUCCGCUUCCCAGGAUCAACGACCUGUAUGAUCAGCUCGCUGGAUCCUCAGUCUUCUCCAAGAUGGAUUUGAGGUUGGGCUACCAUCAAAUCAAAAUCAGAAACGGGGACAUUCCUAAAACGGCCUUUGUUACUCGUUAUGGCCAAUACGAGUACACCGUCAUGUCCUUCGGCUAAACCAACGCUCCAGCCACCUUUUCUCGGUUAAUGAACUCAAUCUUCAUGGAGUAUUUGGAUAAAUUCGUCGUUGUUUACCUCGAUGAUAUACUCAUCUACUCCAAGAACAAGGAAGAACAUGCCGAACAUCUAAGGCUAGUGUUGCAGAAACUUCGAGAGCAUCGCCUUUAUGCCAAAUUUUCUAAAUGUGAAUUCUGGUUGUCAGAAGUGACCUAUCUGGGUCAUGUAAUAUCUGGUAAAGGUAUUGCUGUUAACCCUGAGCGAGUUCAAGCUGUCCUUAAUUGGACUCCACCUGAAUCGGUCAAGCAAGUUCGGAGUUUUCUGGGCUUAGCGAGCUAUUGCCGUCGCUUUGUCGAGAACUUCUCCAAAGUUGCCAAACCUCUAACCGAACUCCUCAAGAAAGAUAAGAAGUUCGAAUGGACUCCACAAUGUGAGCACAGCUUUCAGGAACUGAAAAGACGCCUGACCUCUGCUCCCGUACUGGUACCGCCAGACUUCUCCAAGGACUUUGUUAUCUACUGCGACGCCUCGCGACAAGGACUAGGUUGCAUUCUCAUGCAAGAUCGACACGUAAUUGCUUACGCCUCACGGAAAUUGCACCCACAUGAGGAGAAUUAUCCUACUCAUGAUCUAGAGCUUGCAGCCGUAGUCUAUGCACUUAAGACCUGGCGGCAUUACCUCCUCGGUAAUCGUUGCGAAAUAUUCACUGAUCACCAAAGUCUGAAGUACAUUUUCACCCAACCGGAUCUGAAUCUCAGGCAAAGACAUUGGGUUGAAUUGAUCACAGACUUCGACUUAGGAAUAACCUACACCCCAGGGAAAGCCAACGUCAUGGCGGAUGCGCUAAGUCAUAAAUCUUAUUGUAACAACCUGAUGUUACAACAAAGUCAACCGCUUCUCCAUGAGGAAUUUCGGAAGCUUAACCUUCACAUUGUACCUCAAGGUUUUCUUUCCACCUUGGUGGCAAAACCUACUCUUACGGAUCAAAUCAUCGCUGCCCAAAAGCGAGAUAAGGGAAUAUCUAAAAUCAAAGAGAACAUUGCUAGCGGAGGUGCGAGUUGUUUCUCCACAAAUGAUCAUGGUGUUGUGUACUUUGAGAACCGUCUAGUGGUUCCCAAGAACCAGCAUCUACGGCAGUUGAUCCUUAAGGAGGCUCAUGAAUCUCCUCUCACUAUUCAUCCCGGUAGUACUAAGAUGUAUCAGGACCUACGCCAGAGGUUCUGGUGGACUAGGAUGAAGAGAGAAAUUGCUCAGUAUAUUGCUAAUUGCGACGUCUGUCGUCGUGUAAAAGCAGAGCAUCAACGGCCUGCUGGCACCCUUCAACCCUUAGCUAUUCCUGAAUGGAAAUGGGAUAAAAUUGGUAUGGAUUUCAUUACCGGUUUUCCCAGGACCAAGAGAGGGAAUAAUGCUAUUUUCGUCGUUGUCGAUCGUCUCUCCAAAGUAGCCCAUUUCUUACCUGUUCGUGAGAGUAUAACCGCUAGCCAGCUGGCAGACUUAUACAUCUCCCGAAUAGUGUCUCUCCAUGGUGUUCCUUUGGAAAUUAACUCGGAUCGAGGAAGUCUUUUCACCUCUCGAUUUUGGGAAAGUUUCCAAAAUGCUAUGGGAACCCGUCUCUCCUUUAGCACCGCCUUCCACCCUCAGUCGAGUGGUCAAGUGGAACGCGUCAACUAGAUUCUAGAAGACAUGCUUCGAGCCUCUGUUAUCUCAUUCGGAAUGGACUGGGAGAAGUGCCUUCCAUUUGCCGAAUUCGCUUACAACAACAGCUAUCAAUCUAGCUUAGGUAAAGCCCCUUUUGAAGUUCUCUAUGGACGACGGUGUCGAACACCCCUUAACUGGUCAGAGACCGGGGAAAGACAAUUCUUUGGCCCGGAUAUGAUUCAGGAAGCAGAAGAACAAGUUCGUAUCGUUCGUGAAAAGUUGAAAACAGCCCAAUCUCGUCAAAAGAGUCAAUAUGACCGAAAACAUAAGGCUAUGACUUUCGAGGUUGACGAGAAGGCUUAUCUUCGGGUCACCCCUCUGAAGGGAACCCAUCGUUUCGGUAUCAAAGGCAAAUUGGCUCCUCGUUACAUUGGACCUUUUCGCAUUCUCGCCAAACGAGGAGAAGUCGCCUACCAGUUGGAACUACCUCCGCACCUCUCCAGAGUCCACGAUGUCUUCCACGUUUCUCAACUCAGGCAUUGCUUCUCGGAUCCUGUCCGUGGAGUGGACCACGAAACGCUUGAUCUCCAAGAUAAUCUUACAUAUCGAGAGUACCCCAUUCGUAUCCUCGAUCAGGCCGAACGUACCACCCGACGUCAUAAUAUCAAGUUUCUCAAAGUUCAAUGGUCGCACCAUUCUGAGGAUGAAGCAACUUGGGAAAGGGAGGAUCGUCUUCGACUUGAGUAUCCCGCCUUCUUUCCGGAGGAACCCAAAUCUCGGGACGAGAUUCUUUUGAGUGGGGGUGAGUUGUCACACCCUAGCUAGUCAUGCAUCAGAGUGUGUGCAUCAUGUUUAAAUUUCCAUUUAAUUUGAAAUGGGGAUUUGUGAAACCCUCAGAAUCAUUUUUGAAAAUGAUCCAAAUAAAAAUUUCUCCAAAAAGGUCCAAGAAAAUGCUCAUGUUGCUCUUUGAAAAUAUUGGACAGAGAUAAAAAUCAAACCAAUAUUUUUAAGAGCUCAUAGGUAUUUAUUUUGGGCAUUUGGAAUUAAUGCAUAAAUAUUUGCAUUGGAAAUAUAUUAGUUAUAUAUAUUAAUAUAUGUCCAAAUAUUAUGCCAUUUAUAAAGGAGCUCUGGAAUAAUAUAUCUAGCCCCUGCAAAAAUUGGCAUAAGGUAAAUAAAUGAUUUAAUAUUUUAUUUAAAUCAAAACAAAUGUCAGAAAUUAUAAAAACAGAAAACAGAAAAAAGGGAAAACUUACCUGGCGCCACCACAGGCCCACCAGCCAGCCCACCUGGCCGGCCCAGCCCGGCCACCGCUCCAGCGAGCUGCUUGGCUUGCCAGGCAGGCAGCCAAGGUGCUCGGCGGCGGCACCGCAGCUCGCCACGCAGCUGCACGUCGCCCUGCUUCCCCCUCUCGCCGCCCUGCAGGCCUGGACGAGCUCCACGUCGCGCCCCGACCCCUCUGGACACCUCCAUUCGCCCCCAGUUCCUCUCCCUCGCGCUCCCACGCCAUGGCCGACGCCACCGUCGCUGCACCGCCGCCGUAGCCGUGCUCCCCGUCGUCUCCACGCCGCGCCACCGUGCCCAGAAGCUCCGCCGUCCUCUACUUCUUCGAGCUAGCCGAGCCCCGAGCGCUCGCGUGCCUCGAAGCCGCCGCACCAACCUCGCCCGAACCGCCAUCACCGGAGAUCCCCUUCGCCGUCGCCGCCGCAGCAGCUCGUCCCCGACCACGCCGUCCUUUCCAUCAAGACCGCAGUGAGCUGGGCUAACUUCCCCUUCCUCUCUUUCUCUCUCUCGUGCACCACAGCGAGCACACUAAGCUCACCCGCACGCGCCGUCGCGGACCUCUUCGCCGACGUGCUCCCGGCCAUCCUCCGGCCACCUCACCUUGUCCAUCGCACUCACCACGCCACGUUGGGGCUAACCAUGCACUCCCCGCACCUCACCGCACACUCUAGCCACGAGUUCGUCUUCAACCGAACUCCGGCGGCCGCCAAAGUCGCCGCCGGCGCCAACUCCGGCCACCCCGAGCCCAACCACCACCACCAAUAGUCGCGGCUCAACCUCAGCAACACGUAGAUGCCUUCCGCCGUCCAUUUGGUUGCCGGAAUGGCAAAAAGCACUUUCGUCGCCGCGUCGGGCUCGCCGGCGGCUAGACGCCGGCGUGUUUGACUCUGACUUUGACCACGGGUGGGCCCCGGUUGACCCCCUAGGUCUAUGACAUGUGGGGCCCCCUUUGUUAAUUAAUCCAGUUAGUUUAAAUCUAAUUUAGUUAAACUAAUUGAAUACUGACAUGCGGGACCCACUGGUCAGUUUGACCUGGACCAGCCCGUUGACCACUGACGUCAUCAUGACGUAGUGCUGACGCAGUAAUUUAAUUACUGGAAUUAUUUUUACACAGGAAAUUCCAGAAAAUGUUUCAAACUUCCAAAAUUCAUAUAAAAUCAACCGUAGCUCCAAAUCAAACAAGUUAUAUAUGAAAAAUGAUCAGAAAAAUCCAAUCUUUCCAUCUGUACCGGUUUCAUGCAUGUUUAAACAAGCUAACCUGCUGUUUAUCACAGAACAAGAUAAAACACCUUAAAUGGCAACUUAUGAGUUUGAACUUUGAAUCAAUGGUUCAAAUUAGUUCAAACCCAUCUGUUCUUAGUUGCAUUAGCCCAAUACACUCAUUUUGCCAUGUCUCAUGCAUGCAUCAUAUUGUUGCAUACUGUUUGGUAAUGUUUGUGUAUCAGUGCUCUCUGCGGCAGGUUCUGCCCCCGAGGAGUACCGUGAUAACCCCGACGAAGAGCAAUACCAGUGCACCGACCCGUCAGGCAAGCAACCAACCAUUUGAUCAUAUCAAUACAAUCCCAUGUUCUCGCUCCUGCUCUCUUUUACUGCAUUAAGAUAACGCGUUUCAAACUGCUGUGUGCUACGGUAGUUGAACCCAUUUCCUCUGCAUGACCUGUCAUUGCCACAGUAACUAGAUGAAACCCACUAGCAUGUGUAGGAGUUGAUUGAGCCAUAUGUAUGCGUUGUUCCUACCUUGCUAUGCCUGCUAUGCUUAGAGUCGUGUCAGGUCUGGUUCAUCUGGGUGAUGGCUAGAGUGAAAUGAUUAUGUCGGUAAUGAGAGUGGUGUGGUGAACACGAUUUGGUAAAGGUAUCGAUGAGAGGCCAUGUAGGAGUACAUGGUGGGUUGUUUCAUUGAAGCCGACCUUAAGCACUGAGAUCUGUAUGUGUGAUUUAAGAUACAGCUACUACCAUGCAUUGGGCCCUGAAAUAUGACCCCGCUCGACUUCUUAUUCACCCUAGCUCUCUGUCCAGGAGUUGCAAGUAGUUUCUGGUGUUUGUAGCCUACUGGAGGCCGUGGACAGCGCUGACCGUAGGGGUGGGCUGUGAUGCGGUAGGUACGUGGCCGGGUGUACCGAAUACCCGUUAGGUAUCUCGGGAACCCUGUUCACAUCGUUCGGGGCCGUAUGGGAAACCUCGGCCGGACUCCCUGCGGAUGGAACCUGAAUAGGCGAUAAACCUGGACUAGAGGCUUAAGUGUUUAGGUAGGUCGUGGUCUACACCCACGUCGGCUUUCGCUUGAAGUCUGCCGAGCACAUAUCGUGUGCAGACGCUAAGUGGUGGAAACAUGUAUGAAGAAGUACACCCCUGCAGGGUUAUCAUGAUCUGUUCGAAUAGCCGCGUCCGCGGUAAAGGACUACUUGGUUGCCUAUACAGUUCAUAGACAAGUAAAUGGAAACUACUAAAAGCCUCAAGAUAAGUGUGAGUGCCGAGGAUAGCUCUUCCGUAGGAAGACGGAGGUGGAUCCUCGGUAGUGUAUUGAAGUGGUGAGUAGUGGACUCGUGUGCGAAAAACCAUUUCAAGUUGGAGUAUCAUAGGAUAGUCUAGCCAAGAGUCAAAGCUGGCUUGCUGCAAUAACUCCACCAACCCUUCUUGAUAAUAUGCAUGUAUGUAGGAUCUGAUGUAAGUCUUGCUAAGUACCUUUGUACUCAUGUUGCUAUAAUCUACAUUUUUACAGAAGACACUGCAACCCCUUCUGAUGGGUUCUAUGUAGACGUUGACAUCAACGAGUAGGCUAAAGACCCAGGUGGUGAUCCUGAGCUUGUGAAGGACCAUGUAGUAUAGCUAGGCUUUCCAAGCCUCUGUUAUUUUACUAGUUGUCUGUACUCAGACAAGUUACUUCCGCUGCUGGUUUGUAUGACUGUAUGACUUGAAUGCUGGGUCGUGUGACCCGUAUCUUUGUGUAUGCUAUGUAUGGCUCCCUGAGCCUUAAAUAAAGUACUUGUGUCGUAGAGUCAUGUUGUGAUGCUUCGUUGUAUUUGCACAUAUCGAGCAUAUUGUGUGUAUGAUUGAAAUGCUUGGUAUGUGUGGGAUCUGACUAUCUAGUUGUUUAUCUUUAGUAGCCUCUCUUACCGGGAAAUGUCUCCUAGUGUUACCGCUGAGCCAUGGUAGCUUGCUACUGCUCUGGAACACUUAGGCUGGCCGGCAUGUGUCCUUCUUCGUUCCUGUGUCUGUCCCUUCGGGGAAAUGUCACGCAUUGAGUACCGGAGUCCUGUUAGCCCGCUACAGCCCGGUUUACCGGAGUCCUGCUAGCCCAGUGCUACAGCCCGAACCCACUUGCUGAUGACCGACACGUUCGAAGCUGGGUCAUGGAUGCCUGUCCGUGUAAGUCUGUGCCACUUUGGGUUUACGACUAGUCAUGUCAGCCCGGGCUCCUUAUCAUAUGGAUGCUAGCGACACUAUCAUAUACGUGAGCCAAAAGGCGCAAACGGUCCCGGGCAAAGGUAAGGCUACACCCGUGGGGAUACCGUGCGUGAGGCCGCAAAGUGAUAUGAGGUGUUACCGGCUAGAUCAAUGUGACAUCGAGUCGGGGUCCUGACAAAUCGGGCUAUCAAAAGGGAUGGCUGUGAUUUGAGGAUUGCAUGUAUUCAUAGAUUGCUGUGCUCCGAUGCUUUGUGAAAGGAUUAAAUUAAUUACCCUUAUUUUCCAUUAGGAUCCCCCUGAAACAGGGGGUAAGACAAAAGAUGGUGUGCAAGUUAUUAUUGCAAGCGCAUACAACUACAUAUGGAAUACAUGCAUGCCUACAUAUGAUUGAUGAAUUGGAGUCAAGCUUAUUGUCACCUUGUGCAGCUAUUAGAUGGUUGCUUCCAUCCAUGCAAUGUCCACUAUCCACUCCCAUGUCUACGCUUUCCAUAAUCGUUGUUCUCUUUAUGUUAUGUUUGUUCUUUGCAACUGCUAGGACCUAGUAUUUUGUUGUUAUUAGACGAUACCUCGCGCAUUGCUGUGGGAACGCAUGCUAAAUACUAAGAUCCGUAAAUGAAGCAUAAGGUGGCCUCUUGGCGGGGUGUGGUGUCAGGACCCCGAUUCCAAGUCACAUCGAUCUAGCCGGUAACACCUCAUAUCACAUUGCGGCCUCACGCACGGUAUCCCACGGGUGUCGCCUUACCAUGGCCCGGGACCGUUUGCGCCUUUUGGCUCACGUAUAUGAUAGUGUUGCUAGCAUCCAUAUGAUAGAGAACCCUGGCCGACAUGGCUAGUCGUGAACCCAAAGCGGCACAGACCUAUGGAGACAGGCAUACGUGAAACACAUCGAGCAUGUCGGUCAACAGCGAGUGAAUCCGGGCUGUAGCACUGGGCUAACAGGACUCCGGGGAACCCGGGCUGUAGCAGGCUAGGCAGGACUCCGGAUGUCACCGCGUGACAUUUCCCUGAAGGGACAGACAUAGGAACGAAGUGAAACACAUGCCGGCCAGUCAAGUGUCCUGAGGAGUAGUGCUGGGCUAGCAGGACUCCGGUGAACCGGGCUGUAGCGGACUACUAUGGCUCGAGGAACACUAGACUACAUUUCGCCAUAAGAAAGGCUGCCAAGGAUAAACAACUAGAUUGUCGGAUCCCACUCAUACCAAGCAUUUCAAUCAUACACACAAUAUGCUCGAUAUGAGUACAUACAACAUGGCAUCACAACAAAACUCUACAACUCAAGUACUUUAUUUAGAGGCUCCAGAGAGCCAUACAUAACAUGUUCAUACAGAUAGGGGUCACAUGACCCGACACUCAAGUCAUACAAUCAUACAAGCACAAGCGGAAGUAAAUAGUCUGAGUACAGACACUAGAAAGCAAGAAGGCUUCUCGAAGCCUGUCUAUCUACAUAGGGCCCUCCAUGGCCAGGAUCACCACCUGGGUGGCUAGUCACUCGUCGACGUCAAGGUCUACGUAGAACCCAUGGGAGGGGGCGGUGUUGUCGUCUGAAAACAGUAAUUAAGCAAACAUGAGUACAAAGGUACUCAGCAAGUCUUACAAUAGAACCUACUAUACAUGCUCAUUCUCAAGAAGGUGGUGGGGUUAUUGCAGCAAGCUAGUUUUGACUCUUGGCUAAACCUAUCCUACGGAACUCCACUAGUAAAAUAGUUUUCGCACAUGAGUACACUACUCUCCAACACAAUACUCCACCCGGAUCCUCUCUCGUCAUCCUACGAGAGGGCCAUCCUCGGUACUCACACUUAUCUUGAGUCUUUUAGUAGUAACCAUUAACUUGUCUAUGAACUGUAUAGGCAACCAAGUAGUCCUUUACCGCGGACAUGGCUAUUCGAAUAGUUUUAUACCCUGCAGGGGUGUACUUGUUCAUACACGCUUUCACCACUUACCGCCGUUUACACGACAUGUACUCGGCAACCUUCAAGCGGAGGCCCAACGAGGGUGUCGGCCACGGCCUACCUAAACACUCAAGUCUCUAGUCCAGGUUCAUCGCCUAUCCAGGUUCCAUCCGCAGGGAGUCCAGCCGAGGUUUCCACAUACGGCCUCGAACGAUGUGAACAGGGUUCCCGAGACACCAAAUGGGUGACUCGGUACACCGUGCCACGGUGUAUCUACCGCAACAUAGCCCACCACUAGGGUCAGCGCUAUGCACGGCCGUCAACACAUAACCUACAAACACCAGAAACUAUUUACAACUCCUGGACAGAGUACUAGGGUGAUUAAGAAGCCGAGAGGGUCCAUUGGUUUCGGGCCCAACGUAUGGUAGUAACUGCAUCUUAAAUCACACAUACAGAUCUCAGUUCUUAUGGACGGUCUCAAUGAAACAACCCACCAUGUACUCCAACAUGGCCUCUCAUCGAUACCUCUACCAAAUCGUGUUCAUCACAUCCCUAACAUUACCGAUAUAACCAUUUCACUCUAGCCCAUCACCCAUAUGGACCAGACCUGACACAACUCUAAGCAUAGCAGGCAUAGCAAGGUAGGAAACACAUACAUGGCUCAAUCAACUCCUACACAUGCUAGUGGGUUUCAUCUAGUUACUGUGGCAAUGACAGGUCAUGCAGAGGAAAAGGGUUCAACUACCGUAGCACACAACAGUUUGAAUCGCUUUGUCUUAAUGCAGUAAACAAGAGCAGAAGCGAGAACAUGGGUUUGUAUCGGAAUGAUCAAUGGUUGCUUGCCUGUUGUAGUGGUAGUAGGGUACUGCCCUUCAGACGAAUACUCGGGGUUAUCCUCGGAGGCAGAACCUACCACGAAAAUCACACCGACAUAAUCAACACAUGGCAAUAUGCAACAAUAUGAUGCAUGCUAUGACAUGGCAAGAUGAAAGUGUCUUGUCCUAAUGCAAGCUAAAACAGAAGGGGAUGAACUUAUUUGAAUCAAAGAUUCAAAUGUUAGCUCAUUAAACAUGGCCUUAUUAGUGCAUUACCUUAUUCUUCUUAAACAGCAAGGUUAACUUGUUUUGUCAUGCAUGAAACCAUUACAGAUGGAUAGAUUGAUUCUUUCUGAUCAUUUUUCAUAUAUAUAAAUCUUUGCAUUUGGAGUUAUGGUUGAUUUUCUAUGAUUUUUAGAAGUUUUGGAUAUUUUCUGGAUUUUCCUAUUAAAGAAUAAGUCCAGUAAUUGAAUUAAUGCGUCAGCAUGACAUAGGUGUGACGUCAGCAGGUCAACUGGGUCGGCCAGGUCAAACCUGACUGGUGGGCCCUGUCUAUCAGUGUCACAACUAAUUAACAGAAUUAUGUUAGUGUUAAUUGACUGUCAGUGGGGCCUGGGCCCACAUGUCAGUGACGAAACUAAUUAAAAUUAGUUAAAACUAAUCUUAAAAUGAUUAGCAGAUUGGCCCCACCUGUCAUAGACUCAGGUUGCGUCUACCUGGGCCCACACGGGGGUUAAACAGGGUCAACUCGCUGGCGGCUUGACGCCGGCGACGACAGACAUGGCGGAGGGGCUCGGGUUUGCGUCCCCGGCGACCAAAUCGGCAGCGGAGAGCAGCUACGUGACUUGGGGAGCGAGCCGCGUCGUUUGGUGGAGAAAGUGGAGCUCGGGGAGGCCGGGAACGAUGCCGGCGACGACCUUGGCGGCCACCGGAGUUCGGGCGAGGCUGAACCCGAAGCUACGGGGCAUGGCGAGGCGCAGGGAGUGGUGCAUUAGGCUCCUGGGAACGUGGUGACGCGCUCGGAAUUGAGCUUACGUGCCUGUGGCCACGGCGACGACAUGGCCGGCGGAGCCGAGUUCUCGGCCGUGAUGGCCAACGGGGUUAGAGGGCAGCUCGAGUGUCGUGGCUAGGGGGAGGAGAGAGAGAAGCUCACGGUGAGUGCAGCGGGCGUCAAAGCGGGCUCGGGGAAGCUUGGGAGGUGGCAAAACAUCAAAGACGAUCUCCGGUGACCGACGAGGGGAACGGCAGCAGUGGCAGCGUUGCAGCGCAUCCGAGGACUCGUGGCUCGUCGAGGAGGUCGAGGGAGAUGUUGCAGAGCUCGUGGGCACGGUGGGGCGACACGGGGCGACGGUGGUUGCGGCUACGGCGGCAAGACAACGGCGGCUGCGUCGGCAAGAAGAUGGGAAGAGAGCCAGAGAGGGGGAGAGGCCACGGGGAGAGUGGGAAGAAAGAGAGGGAGACGUGGGGGUCGGCGUGGCACUCAUAGACGCCUCCAGGGCAUCGGCGGAAGCAGGAGGUGGCCGUCGUGUGGCCGCGGGCGCCGGCCACGCGCUCCUCGUCCUCCUGGCAAGAGGAGGAGGAUGACUGGCAAGAGCCAGUCGACUGGGCCGAGCCAGGUGGGCUGGUGGGCUGCACCUGGUAAGUUUCUCUCUCUCUCUCCCCUUUUUUUCUAUUUUUCUUAUUUAUUUAUUAUUUCUAUAACUUUAGGGCUUUAUUAAAAAUACCAGGGCAUUACCAUAAAUCAUAAAAUUAAUCAUGGCCACUGCUUAGAAUAUAUCCAACAGCAAACAUUUUAGUUUAUGAUUAUUUGAGCAUUUAAAAUAUUUUAUAGCAUUUAAAUGCCCAAAUGCAAAUACCAUAAGGAUUAAUCCAAUGACCUUUGAUGUCCUAGAAAAAUGUGCACCAUUUUUGUCAAAGGUUUUAACCCAAAACAAAAAGGGUGAGCUUUUUAGAAGGGCAUUUCAGGUUCAAUGGUAAAGUUUUUAGUAAACCCUAGUUGUUCCAGGGGGUGUUGGGGGUUCUGUCAUCCCCAUUUCAAAUUUAAAAGGAAUUUAAACAUGAUGCACACUCUAAUGCUUGAACUAACUAGGGUGUGACAACUCACCCCCACUCAAAAGAAUCUCAUCCCGAGAUUUAGGAUCCUCUGGAAAGAAGGUGGGGUACUCGAGUCGAAGACGAUCCUCCCUUUCCCAAGUGGCUUCUUUCUCGGAAUGGUGUGACCAUUGAACCUUGAGAAACUUGAUAUUAUGACGUCGAGUGGUACGCUCGGCUUGAUCAAGGAUACGAACGGGAUAUUCCUGAUAUGAGAGGUUAUCUUGUAGAUCAAGCGUUUCGUGGUCCACUCCAUGGAUAGGAUCCGCGAAGCAACGCCUGAGUUGAGAAAUGUGGAAGACAUCAUGAACUCUGGAAAGAUGCGAAGGUAGUUCCAAUUGGUAGGCAACUUCUCCUCGUUUGGCAAGAAUGCGAAAGGGUCCGAUGUAACGAGGAGCCAAAUUGCCUUUGAUACCGAAACGAUGGGUUCCUUUUAACGAAGUAACCCGAAGGUAAGCCUUCUCGCCAACUUCAUAAGUCAUGAGUUUAUGUCUACGAUCAUAUUGGCUCUUUUGACGAGAUUGGGCUGUUUUCAAUUUCUCACAAAUAACGCGAACCUGUUCUUCUGCUUCCUGAAUCAUAUCCGGGCCAAAGAGUUGUCUUUCCCCGGUUUCUGACCAGUUAAGAGGCGUUCAACAUUUUCGUCCAUAGAGAACUUCGAAAGGAGCCUUGCCCAAGCUAGCUUGAUAACUAUUGUUGUAAGCAAACUCCGCGAAUGGAAGGCAUUUCUCCCAACCCAUCCCGAACGAGAUGAUAGAGGCUCGGAGCAUAUCUUCCAGAAUUUGAUUGACUCGUUCUACUUGACCACUUGAUUGAGGGUGGAAGGCGGUGCUAAAAGAGAGACGAGUUCCCAUAGCAUUUUGGAAACUUUCCCAAAAUCGAGAGGUGAAAAGACUCCCACAGUCUGAGUUAAUUUCCAAUGGAACACCAUGAAGAGACACUAUUCGGGAGAUGUACAAGUCAGCUAGCUGGCCAGCGGUGAUACUCUCACAAACAGGUAGGAAAUGGGCUACCUUGGAAAGACGGUCAAUCACGACGAAGAUGGCAUUAUUCCCUCUCUUGGUCCUGGGAAACCCAGUGAUGAAAUCCAUACUAAUUUUAUCCCAUUUCCACUCGGGAAUAGCCAAAAGUUGAAGGGUGCCAGCAGGCCGUUGAUUCUCUGCUUUAACACGACGACAAAUGUCGCAAUUAGCAAUGUAUUGAGCGAUUUAUCUCUUCAUCCUAGUCCACCAAAACCUCUGGCAUAGGUCUAGAUACAUUUUAGUACUGCCGGGAUGAAUGGUGAGAGGGGAUUCAUGAGCUUCCUUAAGGAUUAGCCGCCUCAGGUUUCAUGCCUUGGGAACCACUAAGUGGUUUCCAAAGUAUACGACACCUUGAUCAUCAACGGAGAAACAAUUCGCGACUCCUUUCUUAAUGUUUCUCUUAAUACGGGAGAUUCCCGGAUCUACCUUCUAUGCCUUGAUGAUCUUAUCCGUAAGGGUAGGUUUCGCCACAAGGGUGGAUUGGAAUCCUCGAGGAACAAUGUGAAGAUACGAAAUUCCUCAUGGAGAAGUGGUUGACUUUGUUGUAACAUCAGGUUGUUACAAUAGGAUUUACGACUUAGCGCAUCAGCCAUGACAUUGGCCUUGCCCGGGGUGUAAGUUAUUCCUAAGUCGUAAUCCGAGAUCAACUCGACCCAACGUCUUUGCCUGAGAUUCAAAUCUGGUUGGGUGAAGAUAUAUUUCAAACUUUGGUGAUCGGUGAAGAUCUCGCAGCGAUUACCGAGGUAAUGUCGCCAAGUUUUAAGUUCAUGGACUACAGCUGCAAGCUCUAGAUCAUGUGUGGGAUAGUUUUCCUCAUGUGGGUGUAAUUGCCGUGAAGCAUAGGCAAUUACCUGAUGAUCCUGCAUGAGUAUGCAACCUAGUCCUUGUCGCGAGGCGUCGCAAUAGAUAACAAAGUCCUUGGAGAAAUCUGGUGGUACUAGUACGGGAGCAGAUGUCAGGUGUCUUUUCAGUUCUUGAAAGCUGAACUCGCACUGUGGAGUCAACUCGAACUUUUUAUCUUUCUUGAGGAGUUCAGUUAGAGGUUUAGCAACCUUGGAGAAAUUCUCGACGAAGCGGCGGCAAUAGCUCGCUAAGCCAAGGAAGCUCCGAACUUGCUUGACCGUCUCAGGUGGAGUCCAAUCAAGGACAGCUUGAACUCGCUCGGGAUUGACAACAAUACCCUUACCAGAGAUUACAUGGCCUAGAUAGGUCACUUCUGGCAACCAAAAUUCACACUUGGAGAAUUUGGCAUAAAAGCGAUGCUCUUGAAGUUUCAUCAAUACCGGCCUUAGAUGUUCGGCAUGUUCCUCUUCAUUCUUGGAGUAGAUGCGUAUGCCAUCGAGGUAUACUACGACAAAUUUAUCCAAGUACUCCAUGAAGACCGAGUUCAUUAACCGGGAGAAGGUGGCUGGGGCAUUGGUUAAACCGAAGGACAUAACGGUAUAUUUGUAUUGGCCAUAACGAGUAACAAAGGCCGUUUUGGGAAUGUCCCCGUUUCUGAUUUUGAUUUGAUGGUAGCCCAACCUCAAAUACAUCUUGGAAAAGACUGAGGAUCCAGCAAGCUGAUCAUACAGAUCGUUGAUCCUGGGAAGAGGAUACUUGUUCUUGAUGGUGACCAGGUUGACAGUUCGGUAAUCUACAACCAUUCGAUCCGUUCCAUCCUUCUUCUUGACGAAGAGGACGGGGCAAGCCCAAGGAGAGGAACUAGGAUGGAUGAAACCAUUUUUCAAGGACUCAUCGAGUUGGUUCUUAAGCUCGGCUAGUUCUAAGGGUGCCAUCUUGUAGGGUCUUCUAGAAAUUGGAACGGUUCCUGGAACAAGGUCUAUCGCAAACUCGACAUCCCUGUCAGGUGGAACACCUGGCAGUUCUUCUGGAAAGACAUCCGGAAAGUCUCGAACUACCGGAACAUCUUCAAGGUCUGGAAGGGGGUUGGCAUUUAGGGAGUAAAGUUGGCGCUUGGCCACUCGAGUUAAGACAUUGACUGUCUUGCCCGAUGAAUGAGUAAGUUGAACGGUUCUAGUGGCACAAUCAAUCUUCGCAUAAUGAGAUGACAUCCAGUCCAUACCCAAGAUGAUGUUUAUGUCCGGGGACUUGAGAGCUAUUAAGGAUGCAAGGAAGACAGGUCUAUCAACAAGAAUUUCGUUUCCAUGGCUUACUCUAGAAGUUUGCCAUUUGGAACCCGGAGUUUGAAUUAGCAUGGAAGUGGGCAUGUCACAGAAUGUCGUGUUAUGCAAUCGAGCAUAGUUCUCGGAUAUGAAUGAAUGAGAUGCUCCAGUAUCGAAAAGAAUAGAUGCCGGAUGGCAGUUAACAAGGAGCGUACCAAGGACGACGUUAGGAUCCUCAUGAGCCUCCUCAGCUGAAACAUAGUUGACAUGGCCACGUGUAGUAGUGAUCGGCUUGGCGUAGAAUGUCUUUCCCGCGGGCUUACCACGGCCAACAGACUUUCCAGUUUGAUUGGGGUUGUUGUUCUGGGGACACUCUCGGCUAUAGUGAGCCGGUUCUCCACACUUGAAGCAUGUCACCACAUUGGAACGGGGAGCAGCGUUAGCAGCGGGGCCACCAUAGGGCUUGGGCGGUGCAAACUGCUGGUUGGGACGAGGCGCCUCAAAGGAUGGCCUCGGGAUGAACCUGGGUGGCAGUGCCAUGCUUGGGAUCCACACCCGGCGCUUCUGAGCUCCAGAGCCGGAUGAAGAGCCAAAAUCACGUGAGUGCUUGCGUGAAGCGUCAUAAUCAGUCUGGCAUGUCUCAGCGCUGAUGGCUUUAUUGACCAACUUCUGAAAAGAGGUGCACUCGUGCAGACGAAGAUCACGGUGAAGCUCAGGGCUAAGUCCCUUGCGGAACCUUGCCUGCUUCUUAGCAUCGGUAGAUACUUCUUCAGGAGCAUAACGUGCCAGAUUCCCAAACUCACGGCUAUAUGCAUCCACAGCCAGUCUUCCUUGGGUGAAUUGCAGAACUCCUCCCUCUUGCGAUCCAUGAGACCUUCCGGAAUGUGAUGCUCAUGGAAAGCUUCACUGAAUUCAGCCCAAGUAGUGAUUUGGCCGACCGGGCGCAUAGCUUCAAAAAUUUCCCACCAGAGGCUAGCAGGGCCUUCGAGGUGAUAGGCAGCAUAAGUAACCUUGUCGGCUUUGGCUACGUUGGCAGAACGUAGCUUGUGGGUGAUGCUGCGAAGCCAGUCAUCCGCGUCGAGGGGCUCGACGGAAUGGUUAAACUUUGGUGGGUACAGCUUGAUAAAGUCAUUGAUUGACACCAAGUCAUUUUGCUGAUGGCGUGCAGUGUUCUGCUCAAUCCGCUCUAGCAGGCAGUUAGUCUCACGCUUGUUUCUUUCCGCCUCCAGCAUCACUUCGGCCAGAGAGGGCGGGUGAGGCAGAUUUUCACCCCUAGGUGCACUGGCUUCCCCCUGUUCCGGGGCAGCAGGGUUGCUGCGGGUGUUGACCAUCCUAGGAGAAAACAAGACAACGAUUUAAAUAAGGAUGGCUCAAACUUAGCAAGGAAGUGCAGAAUGUAAUGGAUAACACGGAAUGCAGAGAUGUUCAUCCGUAUGUCAUCGUAAUAUAAAACUGCCAUAUAUAUACCAACGGUCAUACACAUCAUACAUAGGUUAGUACAAGCCCAGGCUAUAGUACAACUAUGAUGAAAGACAUUACAUCUCAUCGGAGGCAUUCCAAGCUCCUAUACAUUAUUUGUCUACACCUCUGGAAUUGAUUACACACAAAGUCAUAUUCCACAAGUCACGCAGGACAGUGGAGAUACAACUAUUACAAUACUAGUGACACUACUAGUAACUCAGACAGCUCCAUAGUAGUCCUCAUAGAAGUCACCUCCAUAGCCCGGAAGUUCAACGUGAUCAUCCGGGAACAGACGAUCCUGAGGAGCUUGUGGACCAAAGGGGCUAGGAUGAGGUCUUGGACCAACAAACGGUGGCCUGCGGGGACCAUGGGGUGGGGUGAUGCCUCCCACAUCACGCCAAUCCACCAUGUCUGGCAGAGCAGAUCUCACAGGAUACAGAUCCCUUGUAUCCAUACAUCCAGCUUGCACCGCAGGUGCAAACCGAGUCAAUGUGGCCCAAUGAUCAGCACGGGUAUUGAAAAGCUCCAGCCUCAAGGCCCGAUUCUCUCGGUCCUUAGCUUCGAGCAUCUCGACAGUGGUACGAGUUAAUGAGUCCUCCUGAGUGGAGUCAACAUAGAUAGCCUAAAGAUACCCUUGCGCUCCCGGAAGUGAAGCUGGCAUGUAAUGGAAGUCGGUAUUCCGAAGCAGGCCAGUCCGGACUCGCAUGAUGGUCAUCAUGGAAUAGGCAGCAUCCUGCACAGCCAUAUCAACAGUAACCCCGAGUCCAUAGGAAUAGUGAAGGGGCUCGGUAGAUCCAGGAUAAGAAGGAAAUAUCCUGACGGUGCAGAAAUAUUGGCUUUGAUUAAAGUCUCGGAAUUGCUCUUCGACGGUGUAUUCGGGAUACCAACGGUAACCCGUCUCGAUCAUUACCCAGACUAACAUAGCAGUAUGACCGGGCACAUCGAGGCACCGGGUCAGGCGAACCACUUGGUUUUGAACACGGUUGGCCAUCUGAAAGCACAACCACAAUGCAAAGACAUUAGAAUUUCUAGGGAAAAUUGGACAGCAUAACAGCUGUAAAAGCUCAGAAAAAGAUUUGAGACAUCCACAACAGUUUGCAAUACCACUCAACAACAUCAUAUCUAGGUUCUGAUUCAAUUAGCAACAUACUAAAAAUAGUAGAAACUGUAUUGAGGCUUGUAACAACAAUCCUAUAAGCUACUACGGAUUAGUAACACGUGAACCUGAUAGAAGAAGAGAGCCUAGUCCUUAACCCACGUUGAAUGAGAAGAGAAUGACUCAAAUCAGAGGACAUAAGGUAAAGGAGUAAAAGAGCCUUAUGUUCCCUUCCACAAUCAAUUCCCCUACAUAUAACUAAAGCAUUUCUAGACUCGACAUCGACCAGUUUGGCUCAACGAACCUACAGGCAGUCCGGCUCUGAUACCAACGCUGUCAGGACCCCGAUUCCAAGUCACAUCGAUCUAGCCGGUAACACCUCAUAUCACAUUGCGGCCUCACGCACGGUAUCCCACCGGUGUCGCCUUACCAUGGCCCGGGACCGUUUGCGCCUUUUGGCUCAUGUAUAUGAUAGUGUCGCUAGCAUCCAUAUGACAGAGAACCCGGGCCGACAUGGCUAGUCGUGAACCCAAAGCGGCACAGACCUAUGGAGACAGGCAUACGUGAAACACAUCAAGCAUGUCGGUCAACAGCGAGUGAAUCUGGGCUGUAGCACUGGGCUAACAAGACACCGGGGAACCCAGGCUGUAGCAGGCUAGGCAGGACUCUAGAUGUCACCGCGUGACAAUUCCCCGAAGGGACAGACAUAGGAACAAAGUGAAACACAUGCCGGCCAGUCAAGUGUCCUGAGCAAUAGUGCUGGGCUAGCAGGACUCCGGUGAACCGGGCUGUAGCGGACUACUAUGGCUCGAGGAACACUAGACUACAUUUCCCCAUAAGAAAGGCUGCCAAGGAUAAACAACUAGAUUGUCGGAUCCCACUCAUACCAAGCAUUUCAAUCAUACACACAAUAUGCCCGAUAUGAGUACAUACAACAUGGCAUCACAACAAAACUCUACAACUCAAGUACUUUAUUUAAAGGCUCCAGAGAGCCAUACAUAACAUGUUCAUACAAAUAGGGGUCACAUGACCCGACACUCAAGUCAUACAAUCAUACAAGCACAAGCGGAAGUAAAUAGUCUGAGUACAGACACUAGAAAGCAAGAAGGCUUCUCGAAGCCUGUCUAUCUACCUAGGGCCCUCCAUGGCCAGGAUCACCACCUGGGUGGCUAGUCACUCGUCGAUGUCAAGGUCUACGUAGAACCCAUCGGAGGGGGCGGUGUUGUCGUCUGAAAAUAGUAAUUAAGCAAACAUGAGUACAAAGGUACUCAGCAAGUCUUACAACAGAACCUACUAUACAUGCUCAUUCUCAAGAAGGUGGUGGGGUUAUUGCAGCAAGCCAGCUUUGACUCUUGGCUAAACUAUCCUAUGGAACUCCACUAGUAAAAUAGUUUUCGCACACGAGUCCACUACUCUCCAACACAAUACUCCACCGCGGAUCCUCUCUCGUCAUCCUACGAGAGGGACAUCCUCGGCACUCACACUUAUCUUGAGUCUUUUAGUAGUAACCAUUAACUUGUCUAUGAACUGUAUAGGCAACCAAGUAGUCCUUUACCGCGGACGCGGCUAUUCAAAUAGUUUUAUACCCUGCAGGGGUGUACUUCUUCAUACACGCUUUCACCACUUACCGCCGUUUACACGACAUGUACUCGGCAACCUUCAAGCGGAGGCCCAACGAGGGUGUCGGCCACGGCCUACCUAAACACUCAAGUCUCUAGUCCAGGUUCAUCUCCUAUCCAGGUUCCAUCCGCAGGGAGUCCAGCCGAGGUUUCCACAUACGACCCCGAACGAUGUGAACAGGGUUCCCGAGACACCAAAUGGGUGACUUGGUACACCGUGCCACGGUGUAUCUAACGCAACAUAGCCCACCCCUAGGGUCAGUGCUACGCACGGCCGCCAACACAUAACCUACAAACACCAGAAACUAUUUGCAACUCCUGGACAGAGUACUAGGGUGAUUAAGAAGCCGAGAGGGUCCAUUGGUUUCGGGCCCAACGUAUGGUAGUAACUGCAUCUUAAAUCACACAUACAGAUCUCAGUUCUUAUGGACGACCUCAAUGAAACAACCCACCAUGUACUCCUGCAUGGCCUCUCAUCAAUACCUUUACCAAAUCAUGUUCAUCACAUCCCUCACAUUACCGAUAUAACCAUUUCACUCUAGCCCAUCACCCAGAUGGACCAGACCUGACUUAACUCUAAGCAUAGCAGGCAUAGCAAGGUAGGAAACACAUACAUGGCUCAAUCAACUCCUACACAUGCUAGUGGGUUUCAUCUAGUUACUGUGGCAAUGACAGGUCAUGCAGAGGAAAAGGGUUCAACUACCGUAGCACAUAGCAGUUUGAAUCGCUUUGUCUUAAUGCAGUAAACAAGAGCAGAAGCGAGAACAUGGGUUUGUAUCGGAAUGAUCAAUGGUUGCUUGCCUAUUGUAGUGGUAGUAGGGUACUGCCCUUCAGACGGAUACUUGGGGUUAUCCUCGGAGGCAGAACCUACCACGAAAAUCACACCGACAUAAUCAACACAUGGCAAUAUGCAACAAUAUGAUGCAUGCUAUGACAUGGCAAGAUGAAAGUGUCUUGGCCUAAUGCAAGCUAAAACAGAAGGGGAUGAACUCAUUUGAAUCAAAGAUUCAAAUGUUAGCUCAUUAAACAUGGCCUUAUUAGUGCAUUACCUUAUUUUGCUUAAACAGCAAGGUUAACUUGGUUUGUCAUGCAUGAAACCAUUACAGAUGGAUAGAUUGAAUUUUUCUGAUCAUUUUUCAUAUAUAAAUCUUUGAAUUUGGAGUUAUGGUUGAUUUUCUAUGAUUUUUAGAAGUUUUGGAUAUUUUCUGGAUUUUCCUAUUAAAUAAUAAAUCCAGUAAUUGAAUUAAUGCGUCAGCAUGACAUAGGUGUGAUGUCAGUGGGUCAACUGGGUUGGCCAGGUCAAACCUGACUGGUGGGCCCUGUCUGUCACAACUAAUUAACAGAAUUAUGUUAGUGCUAAUUGACUGUCAAUGGGGCCUGGGUCCACAUGUCAGUGACGAAACUAAUUAAAAUUAGUUAAAACUAAUCUUAAACUGAUUAGCAGACCGGCCCCACCUGUCAUAGACUUAGGGGGGAUCUACCUGGGCCCACAUGGGGGUCAAACAGGGUCAACUCGCCGGCGUCUUGACGCCGGUGGCUUGACGCCGGCGACGACAAACGCGGCGGAGGGGCUCGGGUUUGCAUCUCCGGUGACCAAAUCAACAGCGGAGAGCAGCUACGUGACGUGGGGAGUGAGCCGCAUCCUUUGGUGGAGAAAGUGGAGCUCGGGGAGGCCGGGAACGAUGCCGGCGACGACCUUGGCGGUCGCCGGAGUUCGGGCGAGGCUGAACUUGAAGCUACGGGGCACGGCGAGGCGCGGGGAGUGGUGCGUUAGGCUCCUGGGAACAUGGUGAGUGUGGUGACGCGCUCGGAAUCGAGCUUACGCGCCUGUGGCCACGGGGUUAGAGGGCAACUCGAGCGUCGUGGCUAUGGGGAGGAGAGAGAGAAGCUCAUGGUGAGUGCAGCGGGCGUCGAAGCGGGCUCAUGGAAGCUUGGGAGGUGGCAAAACGUCAAAGACGAUCUCCGGUGACCGACGAGGGGAACGGCAGCGGUGGCGGCAUUGCAGCGUGUCCGAGGCCUCGUGGCUCAUCGAGGAGGUCGAGGGAGAUGUUGCGGAGCUCGUGGGCACGGUGGGGUGACACGGGGACGACAGUGGCUACGGCUACGGCGGCAAGACGAUGGCGGCUGCGUCGGCAGGAAGAUGGGGAGAGAGCCAGAGAGCGGGAGAGGCCACGGGGAGAGUGGGAAGAAAGAGAGGGAGACGUGGGGGUCGGCGUGGCACUCGUAGACGCCUCCAGGGCGUCGGCGGAAGCAGGAGGUGGCCGGCGUGUGGCCGCGGGCGCUGGCCACGCGCUCCUCGUCCUCCUGGCGAGAGGAGGAGGAUGACUGGCAAGAGCCAGUUGACUGGGCCGAGCCAGGUGGGCUGGUGGGCUGCGCCUGGUAAGUUUCUCUCUCUCUCUCUCUCUCUCCUUUUUUCUGUUUUUAUUAUUUAUUUAUUAUUUCUGUAACUUCAGGGCUUUAUUAAAAAUACCAGGGCAUUACCAUAAAUCAUAAAAUUAAUCAUGGCCACUGCUUAGAAUAUAUCCAACAUCAAACAUUUUAGUUUAUGAUUAUUUGAGCAUUUAAAAUAAUUUAUAGCAUUUAAAUGCCCAAAUGCAAAUACCAUAAGGAUUAAUCCAAUGACCUUUGAUGUCCUAGAAAAAUGUGCACCAUUUUUGUCAAAGGUUUUAACGCAAAACAAAAAGGGUGGGCUUUUUAGAAGGGCAUUUCAGGUUCAUUGGUAAAGUUUUUAGUAAACCCUAGUUGUUCCAGGGGGGUGCUGGGGGUUCUGUCAUCCCCAUUUCAAAUUUAAAAGGAAUUUAAACAUGAUGCACACUCUAAUGCUUGAACUAACUAGGGUGUGACAUGUGGGCGGGUGGCCGUGCUGGCCUCCAACGCCCAAGACGCGACCUCGAUCACAUCCAACCACAUAUGCUCACUACAAGGCCCGGAUUUGAACACGACAAUUUACACUUGUUGGAACUUAUGGAAAGAAUGCAACAGAACACAACAAUUUACACUUGUUGUUACUUAUGAAAAGAACGCAACAGGACUUUCGAGCAUGUUUCUGUUCAUCCAAAAGGUGUUCUUCACCUCAUCAAGAAAGAUAGAUCUUCCGACCACUACAAUGCACUGGAUCUCCGACUGUGAGAACUUCAGAGCUGGACUAAUAAGGUCUGAGCAUGACCAUGUACUGAUCUUACUGUAACAGCACAACUUUGUAAUUUUCUCCUCUUAAUAAAUGGGCAGAUCACUGCCAAUUCUUCAAAAUAAAAAUAAAAAGGACUUCUCAUCUUUCGUAACAAAAUCUAUAAGAACCAUGCGACAUGGUUGCUGUAGGCCUGGCAUACCACAUCAAACAAUUGAGCCGUAGCAGCGUCCAGUAACUAGCACAUCAUCAUGCUAUCAAAAUUAAUUAGCUGGUGCUCAAGGGUAAUAACAACACGAGAACGUACACUACUAAUCAAUAGAUACUCCCUCCAUCCCAUAAUAUAAGAACGUUUUUUAUACUAGUGUAGUGUUAAAAAAGGUUCUUAUAUGAUGGGACAGAGGGAAUACAGAAAUAGCUAACAUUUUUGCAUACAUGGCAUCCAUACAGAAGUAGCCGGGACAUCUCACAUGACACAAUUUAAAUUAGUUUCACAAGACAUGACUUCAGGGUCCAAGAUAAUCUCGCAUAACAACUAGCUCAUGACACUACAGAUAGCUGAAUAAGUUAAUAGACCACAGGAAAGACUGAUAAAUUUCUUACAACAAGUUGGGCCUGGCUUCAAUAAUUUCAAGAAUAGAAACUGAGCUGAGCUGAGCUCCGCUUCUCUCCCCACCGUAUGCGCCGCGGGCCACUCCGGCCAUGGCGGCCACCCACCCACCCCGCCUUUACUCUGGCUUCGACUGCCAGCCUAGGGGCUAUGCCGGCCCGCUCCCCUGCGAGUGCCCCGUCCUCACCCGCCGAGAGCCUCGGGUGGAGUACACCCGAAAAGGUGGAGAUCCAGGGUGAGUCCAGCUGUCCGUCAGAGGUACCGGCGACUCCUCUGUCCCCGUCGACGCGGGAUCCCCGAGCCCAAGCUGCCGCCCACACGGAUCUGGGGCGGAGGUCGAGGUGGCGGGCUUCGGACCGGUGGAUGGCGGCACGGCACCACCAAAUGAGCGCCCCCGCCUCAAAUCCAUCGUGGUAAGUGAUAACCCCCUCCCAUCUCCGGCCACCGACGCCAUUGAAGAAGGAUGGGAAAUCUAGAAAUCCCGCAAGAACCGCCGCGCCAGACAGGAUCCAUUUAGUGCUAGGGAGAAAUCAAGGCGUCGGCCUUCUCGCCAAGGUUACAGCCAUGGGCACUCGGCGGGCAGAGAGGCCUUUUCAAGCAGAUUCAAGGGCCUCUGCUUCCGCUGCCUUAACCCUCGCCACCGCCCCGUAGACUGUAGGGAUCCACUGCGCUACAUCAUCUGCAAACGCCCGGGCCAUUUCUGCCGAGAGUGCGCCGACAACCCACGCAACAAGGGGCGGGGCUCGGCCGCUGUUCUGCCGUGCUCCCCGCGCCGGCCGAUCUGCGAGCGCCUGACCUUUCCUCCCCCGCCUAGCUCCAGCACGCGGUCGUGGUCACCGCGGUGGGCACCAAGGUGCACAUGGCGAGCCCGCUCUCCAUUGGCCGCGCGCUUGAGCGCGAGCUCAAGAUCCCUCCGUACCUGCUUCGCGUCACCAACCACGACCCUGAGGACUUCUUCGUCUACUUCACUCUGCCGGCACACAAGGACCUGGCGGUGCGGCGCGGUUCGCUGUCGGUGGACGGCGUGCCGUUCCUGCUCGAGCCAUGGAGGGAGGACGCCCAUGCUGUCCGGCUCAAGUGGAUGCUGCACGUGCGCGUGGUCAUCGAGAAGCUUCCCAUGCAGCUUUGGAUGAUGGAGGGCACGGAGGAGGCCAUCGGUGACAAGGUCAUCGUCGACCGCCUCGACAGCCGGACCCACGAGCGCGUCGACACCAAGCUUUUCGCCUGCUGGGUCUGGUGCUGGGACACUGCCCACAUCCCCAUGAAGCGUACGAUCUGGAAGCAUGCCUGGGGCGCUGGCCGCGUCGAUGAGAUGGUGGGCUACUCUCCUCCGAGCCGCGCCGUGGCACCACCGCCAGAGCUGCUGCAAUAUGACUUGCUCAUUCACCUAGAUCGCGUGGAGGACUGGACUCUGCUCUCGCCGCGUUCAUCCUACUCACCGCAGAGCGGCAUCCCCUCCGACGACGACGAGCCUGACGAGCGCCCCUACCCACGGAUCGAGCCAGGCUUCUGGGCCGAGCGGGUGGAGGAUGGUAGGCCGGCGCUUGCCCUGGCGCUAUCCAUGCGCCCCCAACCCCGGUGGCAUCCACGGGCUGCCGGGGCAUGCCGGCCACUGAUGGUCGGUGCGAUGACGACGGCGGAGACCCUGGGUACGAGAGGAGGAGCUGGAAGGACGCGCUGCUUGGCAGGGGGCGUGCCAGCGACAGAGGCGGGGCCCCAGCCCCGGCGCCACCUGCAGAGCGGCGGCGCAGCCGCACCCCAGCCUCGCGCCACCGCCAGGGUGCACCGUGGGGCCGGCACCUCUGCAUCGACAAGUAGGCCGCGAUCGAGCCGACCAAGAGGAAGGACGUGAUGGCUGGGCCCUCCCGCCAGCUAGAUGGGGGGGGGGGGAAGAGCCAGGCCCGGUGCAAGUCCGGCGGCUCGACGGUGGCUGAGUCGUCGGGCGGCCCCUCUCUGCUCGCCCCACCGCGCAGGCUCACUCAGGAGCAAGGGCAUGGUGCAGGCCAUGCUGGGGGGCAGGGCGCGGCAGAGGACCCGGUGGAGGAGUUCUUCCAGGGAUCAAAAAACAACCUCCUCCCACAACCUCGGCCACGCCCUGACGCCGUGGCCACGAAGAUCGAUGAGGUGAUCGCCGCCAAGCUCGACAAGCCGCUGCGCUUCGAUGAUGAAAAAGAUGGUGGCAGUGACGGAUUGCUGGACAGGGGGCCUGCCCUAUCCCUGGCCCGUCACACCCCGUUCGUUGCGAGCACGAAUGAAGUGCAGCUGGGCGAGGUCACACAGAGGGUCACUGAGAUGCAGCUCCAAGGGGGAGGAGUCGAGGGCGAGCAGCAGCUGCCCCUCUUCUCCAAGCCGGCGCCAGCGAUCAUCGGAAAGCCACCGGCAAGAGACAGGACGCCCCUCAAGGCUAGGCCGCAGGCCAAGCCAGUCAGGCAGAGCGCACGCCAAGGUGCCAACCCCUCCCAGGUGCCGGUCUCUCAGAGGGCGAUGCUCCGGCUGGUGCAGGGCCUCGGCAUCCUCGGGCCAAAGGAGAAGAUGACGGCGCAGGCUGCAGAAGCCCUGAUCCGCUGUUUCGACGAUCCCCUAUCUGACGACGACAUCGCUGCCAUCGUGAAGCUCACCAGCCUCGACGCCAACGCGCUCAAGGCGAUCGCCGGCAUGCCUAGCCAGCAUGGAAGCGCCGCACUGCCCCGUUCCCCAUGUUAGAAAACCUUAGUGUAGUUGUCGGCCGACGACGACCAGCAGUGUGCUGGGUAGAGUUAGGUUUGUUGUCAAGCAUGAAGUGUUGUAGCAGUAGCCAGGCUAGGAGGCUUGUUGUUCGCCGGCGGGGUUUUGGGCCUAUUGGUGGCCGCUGGCGACCCCUGGAUGCAAGGAUGGUGUCAUUGUGUUCUAAUUUAUCAGUAGAUGUUAGUUGUCGGCAUCUCAUCGUGCAUCGCCCAGUUUUCAUCCAUUAUAGCUCGAGCGCUGCUAGGUUUCCCCAUGGAUGACACGAACAUGCCGAUCAUGAGCUGGAACGUGAGAGGUCUCAACACGCCGGCGGGACGCUCGGUCAUCAGAGACACUGCACACGCCCACAAGCUGGCAAUCCUCUGCAUCCAGGAAACCAAAAUUGACUGCUGGUCCACUAGCUUAGCAAGAAAAAUAGGUGGCACAUGGCUUGACCAAUGCAUUGUUCUUCCAGCCAUUGGAACGAGGGGAGGGGCGGCCAUUUUUUGGAAGUCUAGCAUGCUGUCUGUGCAGUCUCACUCGAUAGGGCAGUUCUCUAUCACAGCCGGGGUGCAAACAGGCUAGUUAGGCAAAGAUUUUUGGUUAACUACGGUCUACGGGCCUUCGGAUGAGGAUAGAAAAGAUGAUUUUCUCGAGGAAUUGACUAGAGUUUCUCCCCCACCUGGACAAGCUUGGCUCAUCAACUGCGAUUUCAACAUUAUAUACGAGGCUAGAUACAACAAUAACAGCAACAUCAACCAUAGGAUCAUGGGUAAAUUUAGAGCGGCAAUCGACGCGGGUGGCCUCCAUGAGAUCAAAUGCAAAAACCGCCGCUUCACCUAGAGCAAUGAGUGUAGGAACCCUACAUUAGUUAGUAUCGAUAAGUUUUUCUGCAACAUUGCUUGGGAGGGGUUUUUCCCAUCCUUUCUCCUGCAUGCAGCAUCAACAUCGUGUUCGGACCACUGCCCCUUGCUUCUCGCAGCUGCUGCAGCCCCACGCCGCCCAGCAACAUUCAAGUUUGAAUCGUUCUAGCCCCGGUUCCCGCGCUUCCAGGAGACGGUCCAACAUGCCUGGAACCGCCCAACCUCAUCGCACUGCGCUUUUGCAAGGCUAAGAGAGAAAAUUAGUAGGGUUGCUAAGGAUCUAAAGAUUUGGAGCAAAUCUCAGUUUGGGGGGGCAAAGAUCCAGAUGCACAUUGCAAAUGAAGUGAUCCUACGCCUCGAUGUAGCGCAAGAAACUAGAGCACUGUCCGAUGCAGAGUUUCAUCUUAGAAAAAUGCUCAAGCUCAAGAUCUUAGGACUGGCGGCCAUUGGUCGUGCAAGGAAACGCCAAGCCUCCAGAAUUACGUGGCUGCGAGCUGGGGACGCGCCAACUGCUUUCUUCCAGGCAAAGAUCAAUGCUAGGAGAUGGAAAGGUUUUAUACACUCACUGCAUGGACCGUUUGGUGUGGCUAUUAAGCAGGAGGAGAAAGAAAACUCGAUCUAUGAUCAUCUCUCCUCCAUACUGGGCAUGACAGCACACCACAACACCACCAUUGGCUGGCGCUCUCUCGCCAUUCCCAGGCUGCAAGGAGGAGGGCUUGACAACCCUUUCACAGAGGAGGAGGUAUGGCAUGCAAUCAAGGCUUCUUCGGCGGAUCGUGCGCCGGGCCCGGAUGGUUUCUCUGGCCUCUUCUUCAGAUCAUGUUGGGCAACAAUCAAAGAGGAUAUCAUGGCAGCAUUCAAUCAGUUCUACAAUUUAGUAGGUAGAAAUUUUGGAGCUCUAAACACUGCGGUGGUGGCAUUAUUGCCCAAAAAGGACGAAGCACUGACUAUCAAGGACUACCGGCCAAUCAGCCUCAUCCACUCCAUAGCAAAGUUGAUAUCCAAAGUCAUGUCCCUUAGGAUUGCCAACGUGAUCCACACGCUCAUCUCACCAGCACAGUCGGCAUUUCUUCGGACAAAAUGCAUCCACGAUAGCUUCCUGUACGUUCAAAGCUGCAUCAAGGCCCUACAUAGACGGAAAACACCGGCUCUGCUUCUUAAGUUGGACAUAGCCAAGGCCUUUGACAAUGUAUCUUGGGAGUACAUCCUUGAGAUGCUGCAACAACAGGGUUUUAGUGCGCGAUGGAGAGAUUGGAUAUCUUUGCUGCUGUCCUCAUCCUCGUCAUCCUUCCUCCUCAAUGGCGUUCCAGGAAAAAGGAUCCGACACCGGAGAGGCCUUCGACAGGGCGACCCCUUGUCACCUUUCAUCUUCAUCCUAGCGAUAGACACACUGCACCACCUACUUCAGGUCGCCGCUGAGCAACACAUCAUUGCACCACUUCCAGGGCGGGAGCUAAAACUUAGGAUUAGCCUAUACGCCGAUGACAUCGUCAUCUUCACAAAUCCGGUGAGGGAAGAAAUCGAUGCACUCAUGAAAAAUAUGCACGAUUUCGGAGAAGCCUCCGGACUACACAUCAACCCUUCAAAGUCGACGGCUUUACCCAUCAGAUGUGAGAACAUAGACCUAGGGUUUGUGUUGCAAAAUUUCGGAGGGGCAGAGGGGCAAUUCCCGACCACCUAUUUAGGCCUGCUGCUGACACUAGCUAGACUACGACUAGCAAACCUACAAUUCAUCAUAGACAGGAUCAAGGCUCGACUUGUAGGAUGGAAAGGAAAACUCCUGCCAAUAGCCAGUAGGCGAGUAUUGGUUCUAUGUGUCCUCGGUGCUAUGCCCACUUUUGCCCUAACUAUCCUCAAAGUGCCAAAGAAGCUACUCAAGGAGAUCGAUAGAUGCAGGCGUAGAUUUCUUCGGAAGCAAGACGAGGCGAUCACAGGUGGUAGCUGCAAGGUUAACUGGUCGGCGGUGUGCACUCCUACAUCUCAUGGAGGACUAGGGAUCACCGAUCUCGAACGUUUCAGCCGCUCCCUUAGAUUACGAUGGCUAUGGAUAGCCUGGUCUGACCCUGGGCGGCCUUGGGUUGACAUGGAACCACCAUGCAGCAACAGCGACAAGGCACUCUUCGCAGCAGCGACCACGGUCACCAUCGGCGAUGGCGCGAAGGCACUCUUCUGGCACUCCACUUGGUGUGGGCCGUGCACCCUGGCCAGCUCGUUCCCUCUCCUCUACUCGCACUCCAACCAUAAAAACAGGAUGGUGCGCGAGGCUCUCACACAUGAUACUUGGAUAAAAGACCUGCGACACGGAAACCUACAACCUCUGCUGCCAGAUUUUGUCAGGCUGCAUAGAAAGAUCGCCGUAACCGUGCUAACAGAGGGAAGUAGUGAACAGACUAGGUGGAAUCUAGAGGCCAGGGGAAAAUACAUUGCAAGCUCGGCUUACGCUAUGCAAUUCCAGGGCAGAGUACUAGCGGAAUGGCGGAAUUUUAUCUGGGAGGCAAAGGUUCCUGGAUGCAUUAAGAUCUUCGCCUGGCUCCUACUACAAAACCGGCUAUGGACAUGCGACAGGCUACAAAGGCGUGGCUGGCUGAACUACUAUUUUUGCCUGCUGUGCGUCCGCAACCUGGAGACAACUCACCACCUCUUCUGGAGCUGCCCAGUAGCCCGGAAGGUGUGGGAGAAGGUAGCCGCAAGACAGGGGUGUCAGCAGUUACACCCACGGCAACAGGUGUAAGAGGGAAGCGCUAUCGCCAUACUCCAACGGAUGGUGGCAAACACCCGACCAGCACAACAAAAGGCCAGCAAUGCCACCAUGCUGUUAACAUGCUGGGAAAUUUUGCAAGAGAGGAAUAGGUGUGUGUUCAAGGGAAAGAUAGCUUCAACGCAAAACAUCAUCAAGGCCAUCGAGCAUGCCAUCGAGCUUUGGCGCCAAGCGGGAGCAAUUCAUCUAGAGAGCCCCUUUUGGGAUCCACCAUGAAAUUUAGAACAAUAGUUAUUUACGGGGUUUAAAGUGUUGUAACAAAACUGGUCCUAGGACCUGCUCCUCACCCUUUGUAUUUUUCUCCAUUGCUUUCUGCUUAUCAAUGAAAUGCCAAUAUGACGCUGGAUCUUUCAAAAAAACAGGAAAGACUGCAUAUUCUUCUUCCAGCCAGCAAGAACAUAUGACACCUUUGGUUUCUAGAGCAAGGAAGGAAGGAUAUUUCUGAAUGGAGUAGACCAAGACUGCAUAUUCUUCUUCCAGCCAGCAAGAACAUAUGACACCUUUUGUUUCUAGAGCAAGGAAGGAAGGAUAUUUCUAAAUGGAGUAGACCAAGCCACUUCAAUGUUAACCCUGGAGUACAAGCUUGGACCAAAUAAGUAGAGACCAAGCCACUUUAAUCUUGACCCUGCAGCUAGCACCAAUGUCACAUUCUUUCUCUGUUACGCCGCCAUAUUUUUUGGGUUCGAACAUGACAUCACCUGUUGCAACGGGUACUUUCAAGCUACAACCACAUGCAGAGUAGGCUUGUACUAAAACUUGGAAGUUUUGGUUCACAUCUACAGAAACAACACACCUUGACAGAUGAAUGUUGCCAUCUUGAUCCAGCGGCGGAUUAUCUCCAUCUAGAAAAUCAAGCAACACAAAUUCUUCAAGGGAAGAUGCACCUUGGAUAAAAACUUUCCCUGCAAAUUGACUAGGCCAUGACCCAUGAAUAAUUUGCACACUUAGGAUAGUGGCCUCGACCAUUUUCGCAAACUGCUUACAAUGAAAUCUUAUGGUGCAAAGGUUGUUUUCCAAGAUUGUACGAAAAGGACCAGGGCUCCGUCGGCAUCGGAGGACUUGGUUGAUCAAUGCUUUUCCAUCUCCAGACUCUCUCUUGAACUUAAGAUCAACUUCAAAGUCAACAGGUUCAAGGGACAGAAUUGCACGAGAGGGGCCAGUCAGCGUCAAGUAGGGCUCCUGCAAUUGGCAAUCAUGGGAUAAGUAACAAUUUAUAUGGCAAAGCCAAUAAACCCACCACAAGCAGGGAAGAGGAAUGUAUACAUCUGCAGUAAUGAUUUGGCAGUUAUUGCUUGUGCGAUUGAAGAGAAAGUUGCGAUUAUAAUCCACAUGGUCUCGGGCAGCAACCAUGCCAUAGACACGAAGUGGCCACCCGAGUUUUGGCUUCUCGACUUGGAUGGAGUAGACUUGCAAGGUGUAGGAGACCAAAGCAUGUGGGAUGGUUUUGUAUGUGGUCAGCAUGUUCUUGAUCGUCGCUGCAUACACAAAGCGUGUGUUACAACAUAAUGUCUCUCAGCAAGAAACAUAAUAAUACACAGAAACCGAAAAUUUUCUUCGGUUACGAUUUCGAUGACUGCGAAGAGGAAGAGAAUUAUGCUGGCUGUAGGUAAUUAUGCGAAUUAUAACUCAGAUAAGUGUGUACAUUGUUUAAGUACUCUCAUAUUCGAAGUUACCGAACUUUCCAUAGGACAUGCACUCCCAGCCUAUAUGGUACUCUUGCAUAAUCUCCUCAUCCGUCAUGUACUCGGGCAGGAACACCUCCUCAUCUAGAUCCAUUGAGUUGUCAUCCUCGUUCUCCGAGAUCUGCUCCGGCGUCGCUGAAUCGUCGUUGAUCCUAGAAGAGGAUGUGGCCUCCUUAUGGUGGCGCUUCGUGGAUUCUCCACCGCUCCCCCCUUCCGCUUCUCUUAUCACCUCCAUCUCCAAAAGUAGAGUUCUCCCUCUUCUUCUUUCUUCGACGCUGCCCCCGCCGCCGCAGUUGCAAGAUCUAGGGUUUUUUCUUGCAGAAAUGUCUUAGGGAUCCCAGUCACAGCCGUGCGGAAGGCUCCUAAUUUUUUUAGACAAAGCUCCUAAUAUUAUAUGGGUGACGAUGCUCCCACCCAUCCGGCCCAAUAAGACAUACGUUCGUCCAGGAGCCCAAAUACUAACGGUGUGCUCAAGGCCUGUCUAGGCCACCCAGUAAGAUGCUCGUUCGUGCGGGGAAAAACUGUCGUUAUUCGCUGUGCCAAAAAAGAUAAAUGCAUUUCCCUAAAAAAAGAUAAAUGCAUAGGAAAUGCGGCUGCCUUGAAAGAUUAGAAAAAAAACUACUCAUGUAAAUUUAAAACAUGUUCAUGGAAUUUUAAAUAUUCCUGAAAAUUUAAAACAUGUUCAAAAAAAUUUAUAAUAUUCACGAAUUUAAUAUAUGUUCAUGUUCCUUAAAGAUGUUCAAGGAUUAAAAAAAAUAUAAAUUCUUAAUUUUAACAUGUCCACGGAAAAUGUUCCCAAAUUUUAACGAAAAUUAUAGUAUUCGUGUAUUGCAGAAAUGUUUACAUAUUUGAAAAAUGUUUACCAAUUUAUGAAAUAUCCAUGAAUUUAAAAAAUGUUCAUAUGUUUUACUAAUGAUUGCUCGUUUAGAAAAUUUUCUUGUGUUUUCAAUAAAUUUUCACAAAUGUAUAAACUAUUCAUGAUAUUUUAAAAUUUUCAUGAAUAUUCCUAAAAAAUAAAUGUCUCAUGAAUUUUAACAAUGUCCAUGUUUUUUUUAAGAACAUGCAUUUUAAAAAUGUUCACAACUAUAUAAAAACACAUUCCAUGUAUUUAAAACUGUUCAAAAAAUCUUUUAAAAUAUGAUUGUAAAUUUAAGAAUAUUUAUGAAUUAUGGGAGUGCUCUCUAUAGUUUUUGUUGAGUUUUAGGGUUUCCUAUUUAUUUAGUAUUUAUUGUCAUUUUGCUAUUUUUUCUUCUUUAUUUUUGUAUAGGUUUUCUUUUAUUUUCUUUUAUCUUCUUUUUAAAUCAUGAACAUGGAGGAUUCGAUGAAGGAUAAUAGUGUUGAAUGCAAAAUGAGUCGUGUAACAUCCCUAGAGUAAUCCCCUAACUAUUUUCCCUAUGAUAUUGGUUGUGCAUCAGAUGCAUCUCAUAAGCAUUAUAUUGUGUUAAUUGAUUAAUUUGGUUACCCUCCGGAGAGGGGGAUUCUUUGACAUCAUCAACACCAACCUCUUCUCCAUCACCACCAUCAUGAUCUCCCAUUCAUGUCUGAGUAAUUUCUUUGUGGGCACAUGGGGUGGGUGGAAAUUGGAUCACACAUCUCUUAUGUAAUAGAUGUCGGAUUUGAUAUGGUUUGUGCCUAGUACCUUGUAUGUUUCUGAGACUGAUGUUGUUGUGACUUUGUUAUACUUAAUGCUUCACACUAGGGCCCGAGUGUCAUAAUUUCAUAUUUGAACCCUUUAUGUUUUCAUGAAUGUACAUGUGUUUUUGGAUCAUAUCUGCAAGUUCUAUGUGUGUAUUAUAGUUAAAAGACAGAGACCUUGAAGUGACAGCAAUCGGGCUAUCAAAAGGGAUGGCUAUGAUUUGAGGAUUACAUGUAUUCAUAGAUUGCUUUGCUCCGAUGUUUUGUGAAAGGAUUAAAUUAAUUACCCUUAUUUUCCAUUAGGAUCCCCCUGAAACAGGGGGUAAGACAAAAGAUGGUGUGCAAGUUAUUAUUGCAAGCGCGUACAACUACAUAUGGAAUACAUGCGUGCCUACAUAUGAUUGAUGAAUUGGAGUCAAGCUUAUUGUCACCUUGUGCAGCUAUUAGAUGGUUGCUUCCAUCCAUGCAAUGUCCACUAUCCGCUCCCAUGUCUACGCUUUCCAUAAUCAUUGUUCUCUUUAUGUUACGUUUGUUCUUUGCAACUACUAGGACCUAGUAUUUUGUUGUUACUAGAUGAUACCUCGCGCAUUGCUGCGGGAACGCAUGCUAAAUACUAAGAUCCAUAAAUGAAGCAUCAGGUGGCCUCUUGGCGGGGUGUGGGCGGGUGGCCGUGCUGGCCUCCAACGCCCAAGACGCAACCUCGAUCAGCUCGGUGACGUCCCUCGAACUCUUGAUCCAGCUGAGGCCGAGGGAGAGUUUUGUCAGCACGACAGCGUGAUGACGACGAUGAUGAAGUUACCGACGCAGGGCUUCGCCUAAGCACUGCAACAAUAUGAACGAGGUGGGAAUAUGUGGAGGGGGUACCACACAUGGCUAAACAAUCAACUUGUAUGUCUAUGGGGUGCCCCCUCCCCCGUAUAUAAAGGAGUGGAGGAGGGGAAGGGCCGACCUCAUGGGGCGCGCCCAAGGGGGGGAUUUCUACUCCUAGUAGGAGUAGGUUUCCCCCUUCCCUAGUUGGAGUAGGAGAAGAAGGAAGAGGGAGNNNNNNNNNNNNNNNNNNNNNNNNNNNNNNNNNNNNNNNNNNNNNNNNNNNNNNNNNNNNNNNNNNNNNNNNNNNNNNNNNNNNNNNNNNNNNNNNNNNNNNNNNNNNNNNNNNNNNNNNNNNNNNNNNNNNNNNNNNNNNNNNNNNNNNNNNNNNNNNNNNNNNNNNNNNNNNNNNNNNNNNNNNNNNNNNNNNNNNNNNNNNNNNNNNNNNNNNNNNNNNNNNNNNNNNNNNNNNNNNNNNNNNNNNNNNNNNNNNNNNNNNNNNNNNNNNNNNNNNNNNNNNNNNNNNNNNNCCCCCGGUACUCCAGAAAAUGCCCGAACUAAUCUGAAACCUUUCCGGUGUCCAAACAUAGCCUUCCAAUAUAUUAAUCUUCAUGUCUCGACCAUUUCGAGACUCCUCGUCAUGUCCGUGAGCACAUCCGGGACUCCAAACUACCUUCGAUACAUCAAAACACAUAAACUCAUAAUACCGAUCGUCAUCGAACGUUAAGCGUGCGGACCCUACGGGUUCAAGAACUAUGUAGACAUGACCGAGACUCAUCUCGAGUCAAUAUCCAAUGCGAUAGACUUGUACGCUGUACAUACUUUCCACCUCCUGUGUGCCACUAUGGCGACCCCUUUGACAUAUAAAAGGAGGCCCAAGGCGUACUGAGGGGGGAUUCAGACUUUUUGGGCUAGGCAUGCACCACAGUUAGUCCAGGAGCUCAAGAACACCAAAUAUACACCAAAGUAGGACUAGGGUAUUACGCAUCGUUUGCGGCCCGAACCUGGAUAAAAUUCUCCCACGUUGAUCUCCUAGACCCGCUCUUUGCACAGCCCCGCGCCCCGCCAACCGUAGUAGGGAUUCCCCUGUGAUCCCAUAGGUGUCGUUUCCCCGACAACGCCCUGGUGGGUUGUGGUCCCCACGUGGGCCCCCUCACUUAUCCCUUCACACCACAUCAUGACCUACCUCUAGAAAAAAUUCUCCAUUGCUCUCUCUCUCUCUCUCUCUCGUGUUCUUGCUCUCAAACCCGCAGAUUUCGUUCUCUUUGCUCGAAGCUCCAUUUCUGAAACUGUUUCGGGGGAUUGUUGCUUGGCAUGUGACUCCUCCGUUUGUGCAAUUAAUUUUUGUUUUAGUGGUUUAUAUUUUGAAUAAUUAGCUACUCUUGGUGCUACCAUAGAUGAUCUUACAUGUUGAUUUCUUAGAGUUCUAAGUAGUUUGAAUGCUUGCUAUGGCCUCCAUGUAUCCCUAUGAGUAGUUGCUAUCAAUCUUGUAAAGUUUUGUUGAGAAAAAUUUUGUGGACUAAAAAUUUCAGAAUCUUUGUUCAUAGGAAAAGGAUGAAUAUAUUUAGGAAAUUUGCUUCCAAGAAGAACUCCAAGGGAGUUAUUGGGGAGUCAUCUGAUAGUGAUCUCCAUCCCCGGAGGUUGGCGGAAGUACGGCCGUGCGAAUGGCCGCAUACCCCGUUCAUGGAGGAGGCUGGAAUCCUUCAAGAGUUUAUGCAAUAUGCUGGUAAUGCCGGCCUCACCGACUUCAUCGCAGCUGAAUGUGAACAGUAUCAUAUCCUCACAAACAUCUUUGUUCAAAGUUUUAAUUACCUUCCUAGGAAUAAUCCCCCUGAAGUGCAGUUUAAUUUAUAUGUCGAACCCCAUCAGAUACCACUUACUGAAUUUUGUGAAAUAUGCUUGCUUCCUUCUGAUGGUAGUUCAACAGAGCCUAGACCCGCAGAGUUUGAAAGCUUUUAUCGUACUCUGAUAGUGGGUGAUGAGAGAGGGGCGUCGAUUAUAACGGCCGCUGGCUUGCAUUUUCCUGCUGUUCAUUAUUUUGCUCUUUUCAUUUCAAAAUGCUUGCUCGCUAGAGAGAAGGUGGGUGCACUGAGUUCACCAGACCUUGUUGUUUUACGUCGUGCACUAGAGGGCGACAACACUUAUAGCUUGGGAGGUAUCGUGGCACAUCGCCUCCACAUUAAUAAGUCCAAGGGUAAAAUACAUGGUGGUAUUUUCGCUACUCGCUUGGCAGCUCGCUUUAAUGUUGAGAUACGCCCUCAUGACAAUCCUUUGACCAAGGUCUAUCUAGAUCGCGCAGCUAUGGAACACCACCACUUCAUUGCACGAGAUUUCCUUAACAUUCCUAUUCCGUAUAAAUUGGUUUUCAGUGUGAGCACUCGUGAUAUUAUUCCAUUGCCUGCACCUGCUUUGUUUGAUCCUGUUGCCAGGGGCAUAUAUACACUACAAAAAAAGACACAUUCGUGACAUUUUGGGCCGAACGAAUUUUUUUUGUCAUGCUUAUGACACUUCUAUGAGGAUAAUUGUGACAAAACCCUGUAUCAUCAUAGAUGUGGUGGGCUCCUACUUCUAUGACAAAAAUCAUGAGAGAAAAUGGGCUUUUCGUCCUAGGCGGACCGGAGACGCAACUGCAUGACAUUCUUUGGGUCGUCCAUGACGGAAAAAACCAUGGUAGAAGCGAGGGCGAGGAAAAUAUCAGGGAGUUCCUGGUUACGGUGGUUGGUUGGGGGCCGAGCGAUGCGCGUUUCUCUCGUACACGUACGCGCGUGGGUGCGAGGCACUGGGCUCUAACUGAACCUGAAUGAGGUAUUCACCUACUGAACCCGAGCGAUUGCACUGCAGGCUACGUGUUACUGAACCCGAGCGACCGAUCGUUGGCUGUUAACUGAACUCGAUCGAGCGAUUUCUUCGCUACUGCUACUAACUGAAGCCGGCCGAACCUGCUGCCUCUUGAUGAACAGUGCGAGUUGUUGGGGGGUGGAUGAACAAUUUUCGGUGGGGGUUGGAUGAACAAGACCUCGUGGUAGUAGAUGCCGUUGCCGCUGGAUGAGCAGGACCCCGAUCGAUCGAGCCGGUUGCGGGUGGAUGAACAGGACCCCGUGGAGGGCUAGAUGAACAGGACAACCCCGUGGAGGGAUGGUUGAACAGUAGCCGAUGGAGGGCUGGAUUAAUAGUAGCCCGUGGAGGGGUGGUUGAACAGGACCCCGUGGAGAGGGCUGGUUGAACAAUAGCCGGUGGAGGAGCACGCGGUGGAGGCUGGAUGAACAGGAGCCCGUGGAUGAACAGUCGUAUGUGGAGGCUGGAGGAGGUCGAUGGUGGAUGAACAGUAGCCCAUGGAGGCUGGAGGAGGUCGAUGGUGGAGAUGAACAGUAGCCCGUGGAGUCCCGUUUUGCGGUACGCCACACCCCUCCCAAUGAACAGGACCCCCGCUUCGACUGUAGUGCUCCAACACAGGUCCGUUUCCUCCAUUUUGCGGUACGCCACACCCCUCCCGAUCAACAAGACCCCAUUUCGACCGUAGGCACUCGAACACAAGUCUGUUUCCUCCAUUUUGCGAUACACUAGACCCCUCCUGCUGAACAGGAUCCUGUUUUGACCGUGGCCGGUCGAACAAAAGGCCGUUUCCUCCGUUCUGUAGUACGCCAGACCCCGUUUCGGCUGUUCCGUCCAAGCCGGUUGGCUCCCGUUGAACAAGACGCAUUCCGACCCAGUCAGUUGCCUCCCGAUGAACAGGACGUUGUUUCUCUGUUCCGACCCAGCCGGUUCACUGCCCGGUGAAUAGGACACCGUUGCUGUUAUCCGUUGCCUCUCCAUGUACACAAGCCCUCGUCGUCCGUAUAUAUGCGUGAGUACGCGCUCGAGACCCCGCCCAUAUGUACGUACAUGGCCGUAUUUUUUGCCCUAUGGAUGUACGUACGUGUGCGGGACUUAGACAGGACUGCGUGAACUGCUAUGUCGGGUGCUCUACAAUGACACGUGCCGCUACUUACUUGGCCACGGUUCAUACUUGCAGAGAGACCGAUCGACCAGUAUGUACGUACACGUUCGCGACCAGACAGACAACGCUACGUACGCUUUCACUGGGUGGGUCCCAGUGGUCAGGGGUGGAUAAGGACGCACUUCCUUGCAUGCGAAGAUAUAGCUGGUCGGUCCCAGCUGUUAGGGGGAGGAAUCUGUCGGUGUUCUGGGAACGGGGGUACCCAAACUUGCCUGCCUGCAGCCGAUGGUGUGGCUCUGUCAACGGCCCGGUACGGCCCAACUUUAGGACAACAACCAAGACCCUCGCGAGGGGCCAAGCCUCACGAGGCGGACGACACCAAGACCUCCCUGGGGGGCGGCCUCCCCAGGAUGGCUCCGAGGAGCGGAGAUAUCUAUGCAAGCUGCACCUAGCGAGGUUCAUAUGACGUGAGCCGUGACGACCAAGGCCAGGCGGGCGCCAGCGGGCGCAGUGUACUAGUUUCCUUUUUGGCCCUAAGGAGGCAAGCACAGGCACGGGGUCCCGAGGAAUGAAGCAAUGGUUUCCAUAUCGGUGCAACAAGGCGAAGACCACCAGGACGGCAGGACAGAGGUCAUCGCGGAGCCCACCGCAGCGUCACCAUCAGAGGCUUUUACAGGAGAAGACUACUUUUUUCAGGAUAACUUGUACUAGUUGUCUCCCUUCGAAUUUGACCAUUAUGGGGUCCCUUUCUGCCUACAUUUGGGAAGAGGGCCGAGGCCACUAUAAAUAGGACUUAGCCACCAUGAUAACCCACAAGUAUAGGGGAUCGCAACAGUUUUCGAGGGUAGAGUAUUCAACCCAAAUUUAUAGAUUUGACACAAGGGGAGCCAAAUAAUAUUCUUAAGUAUUAGCAGCCGAGUUGUCAAUUCAACCACACCUAGAAACUUAGUAUCUGCAGCAAAGUGCUUAAUAGCAAAGUAAUAUGAUAGUAGUGGUAACGGUAGCAAAAGGUAAUGAUAGCAAAAGUAAUGUUUUUGGUAUUUUGUAGUGAUGAUAGCAAUAGCAACGGAAAAGUAAAUAAGCGAAGAACAAUAUAUGGAAAGCUCGUAGGCAAUGGAUCGGUGAUGGAGAAUUAUGCCGGAUGCGGUUCAUCAUGUAACAAUCAUAACCUAGGGUGACACAAAACUAGCUCCAGUUCAUCAAUGUAAUGUAGGCAUGUAUCCCGAAUAUAGUCAUACGUGCUUAUGGAAAAGAACUUGCAUGACAUCUUUUGUCCUACCCUCCCGUGGCAGCGGGGUCCUAGUGGAAACUAAGGGAUAUGAAGGCCUCCUUUUAAUAGAGUACCGGACCAAAGCAUUAACGCAUAGUGAAUACAUGAACUCCUCAAACUACGGUCAUCACCGGUAAGUAUCCCGAUUAUUGUCACUUCGGGGUUAACGGAUCAUAACACAUAAUAGGUGACUAUAGACUUGCAAGAUCGGAUCAAGAACUCUCAUAUAUUGAUGAAAAAAUAAUAGGUUCAGAUCUGAAAUCAUGGCACUCGGGCCCUAGUGACAAGCAUUAAGCAUAGCAAAGUCAUAGCAACAUCAAUCUCAGAACAUAGUGGAUACUAGGGAUCAAACCCUAACAAAACUAACUCGAUUACAUGAUAGAUCCCAUCCAACCCAUCACCGUCCAGCAAGCCUACGAUGGAAUUACUCACGCACGUCGGUGAGCAUCAUGAAAUUGGUGAUGGAGGAUGGUUGAUGAUGACGAUGGCGAUGGAUUCCCCUCUCCGGAGCCCCGAACGGACUCCAGAUCAGCCCUCCCGAGAGGUUUUAGGGCUUGGCAGCGGCUCCGUAUCGUAAAACGUGAUGAAUCCUUCUCUCUGAUUUUUUUCUCCCUGAAACCAAAUAUAUAGAGUUGGAGUUGAGGUCGGAGGAGCUCCAGGGGGCCCAUGAGGUAGGGGGCGCGCCCUAGGGGGCAGGUGCGCCCCCCCACCCUCGUGGACAGGUGGUGGGCCCCCUGGCCUUCAUCUUUUGCAAGGAUUUUUGUUACUUCUGAAAAGUUGUUCCGUGAAGUUUCAGGUCAUUCCGAGAACUUUUGUUUCUGCACAUAAAUAACACCAUGGUAAUUCUGCUGAAAACAGCGUCAGUCCGGGUUAGUUCCAUUCAAAUCAUGCAAGUUAGAGUCCAAAACAAAGGCAAAAGUGUUUGGAAAAGGAGAUACUGCGGAGACGUAUCAACUCCCCCAAGCUUAAACCUUUGCUUGUCCUCAAGCAAUUCAGUUGAUAAACUGAAAGUGAUAAAGAAAAACUUUUACAAAAUCUAUUUGCUCUUGUUGUUGUAAAUAUGUAAAGCCAAAAUUCAAGUUUUCAGCAAAGAGUAUGACCAACCACAUUCACAAUAACGCUUAGGUCUCAAGUUUACUCAUAUCAAUGGCAUAAUUAACUAGCGAGCAAUAAUAAUAAAUCUCGGAUGACAACACUUCCUCAAAACAAUCAUAAUAUGAUAUAACAAGAUGGUAUCUCGCUAGCCCUUUCUGAGACCGCAAAACAUAAAUGCAGACCACCUUUAAAGAUCAAGGACUGACUAGACAUUGUAAU
This 69081-nucleotide long non-coding RNA is filed under the name Triticum aestivum (bread wheat). RNAcentral's name for it is "long non-coding RNA (TAES_LNC025276)". Lineage: Eukaryota; Viridiplantae; Streptophyta; Magnoliopsida; Poales; Poaceae. The record is from RNAcentral.